RNAcentral lists this long non-coding RNA (49048 nucleotides) under Coffea arabica (coffee). RNAcentral describes it as "long non-coding RNA (CARA_LNC002361)". The record is from RNAcentral. Lineage: Eukaryota; Viridiplantae; Streptophyta; Magnoliopsida; Gentianales; Rubiaceae.
UUUUUUUUUUUUUUUUUUUUGUCAGCAACGAUACAUUUGUAUAACCUACUCUAUCCUAAUUUAGGGGGAGGGGAGCCUAAAGAGGCUGUUGUAGGGACUAGUAGGUAUACAGACCCAACUAGACCAAGGGAGUGCUAUGACAUAACCCUUAGAUUUUUUUCGCUGCUGAUGAGGUUUGAACCCUCACCAACAGCCCAAGGAGGGACUUAAGUCCCUCCCAGGUGGCCACUGAGCCAUUGGCCCAGUGGUUAAUUACGUUUAUGGUAGUCAUUUGGGGAAAAUUUCUAACUAGUAAUGGCCUAGGUAGAUUGCUGACAUAAAUAAGGUAACAAAAAACAUGCACCCCUCUUUAGAGGAUUCAUAUACUGAUAAGUGACUAAUUUACGUAAUAAUUGUAUGAUAUUUUAUAUUAUUUUUAGUCACUUUAGUUAUAUUAUUGGAAGAAUAUGAAUCAUUUUGGCUAUAAUUGGUGAAAAAUGCUUUUAAGUGAUUAAAUGAGGUUUUUAUCACUUUUUAGUGGAUUUUGUGUGUUUUGACAGUUUUGACACAUUUUCGUAUUUUGGCUAUAACUUGAGCUACAAUGAUCGGAUUGGGAUGAUUCUUGAACCCAUUUGAAGAUAAGAGAUAGAUCUACAACUUUGGUGAAGACAUCUGAAUCCAGUUUGAAGGUUUUCCAGGUCAAAAAGCCGAAGUACAGAGUCAAUUGCUAUUGGUCGAAACUAGAACAAGGCAUGGAGCAGGCAAGGGUAUUUCGGUCAUAUCUCAGCCUACACAGAUCCAAAUGAGGUGAUUCUUGAUGCAUUGGAAAGAUAACUCAAAAGGCUACAACUUUCAUGUUUUAGACAUGAGCUGGUUCAGCCUCUAACAUCAAGAAAAGAUCGGUUGAAGUUGAGCCAAAAACAGAGCAAGUGAUCCACACUCGGAUCCACUAUUCAUCCGAACCCUCGGCUGUUUCUGGGUUAGUGGAUCCGAGCUCGGAUCCAUACGGAUCCGAGGUACUGUAGCAGCUCGGAUCACUGUAGCAGCCCAGAUUUACUGUAGCAAUCCGGCCGGAAUUUGGCCGGAUUUGUGGCCGGAUUCCUGGCCGGAUUGUGGUCAGAGAAGUCUGCUUUUUACGCGGAAAACUCAAUUUCACCUCCACCAACUCACAUGGGAUGCUAGACAUGUGAGAAACAUUACCAGCUGUAAGGAGAAAGUGAAAAGCUUCAUUCCUUGACCAUUUUCAUCAUUAAAAAGAGCCAAAUUCAUUGCAAGAAGGAGAGAUGGGAGUAGAUAGCAGAGAUUGGAGUUCAUAGCAGAAAAAUAGAGAGUGAGCUACGGGAGAAAGCUUGAAGCUGCAGAAAUGUAGCUCUUUCAUCUUCCUAGUGUUAGUUUAGCUUAGUAUAGAGUAGUGUAGCUUUUCCAUUCUUGUUUAUUAUCUAGAUUAGGAUGAAGAUGGAGGAUGAAGAAGGCAAGGAAGAAAGCUCAUGUGACAAGGGUUGUAUUCCUUCCAAACUCUUUAUCUUUUGUAUUUGAUUCCAAGUUUAGUUAAUAUACAAGUUCUGGAUUUUGUGUUUAAUAUGUGUAUCUAAAGUUUAAGCCUUGGGUUUGGUUGAACAUUCUAUGAUUGUUAGUGUUUAUUAUUUGGCUAUUUGAUUGCUAGUAUUUGAGCAAGUUAUUUAGCACUUUGGCUCUUGAAAUCAUGAUUAAUCUGGUACCAUUAAUUGUGAUUAUCUAAGGUGUUGUUUCUGCAAUGAAAAUUGAGAUUUAACACUAGUUCAAGAAGUGUUAAACAUAGGGAGUACACUCACGAAAGUAGAGGUGCACUUAUGUGGUUUUUAGUGAUUCAUUUCAUGUAAUUUCAUUGAAGAAAUGAACUUGUAGCUAAUUUCAUAACCAUGAAAAUAGGUAUGGAUUAGUUAUGAGUAUAGUUGAUUCACUACGAAAGUAGGUUUCACAUGUUAAGGAAAUUACACCAUAACUAGCCUAAAUGUAGUAUUCAAUGAUCCAAAUGUAGCACUUGCAUGAGUAGUUAGGGAUACCACAACCUAAGGAGCUUUUAUUUGUUAUUUUGUAUAAUUUCAGUAGGUUAAAUUUCUUAUAAUUCAUUGAUAGUCUAAAUAAUAGAGAAGCUUUAGUAAUACCGGUAAUUGUUCACUCUUCCCUGUGGGAUCGACCCGAUAUAUACCCUAAACUACUAGUUGACCUGUAUACUUGCAGUGAACGGGUGUAAUUCGGUUUUUUAACUUGUACGUAUGUAAAAUACCCGUCAAGUUUUUGGCGCCGUUGCCGGGGAAGAUUUGGCAAUAUCGGUGUGAAGAGCAACUUUAUUAAUUUAGACAAUUUUUCUUAUUUUUGUUGUUUUUGCUGUAUCUUAUGUGUUUUAUGUCAUUUUUUUUUAAUCAACUUUUAUUUUAUUUUAUUUUUCUGUUUUAGUUUGUGUCUUGGAAUCUAUCCUUCUUAACUAAUCUUACUUUUGAGAUUGUUUAAAAGUAAUUUUAGAUAAUGAGGAGGGUAGGUCAAUUUGGAGGACAAUGCUUGAGAAGUGGAAGAUUGGAAAUGGAUGGUUACCAAGUGCAAAGCUCUUUCAAUAGAGGUAACCAAGAAAUUACUAGAGGUAUGUCUUAUGAAGAUGGUUUGAAGUGUUUAAAGGCUAAAUUUGAUGUUAUGAUGUUACAAGUUCAAAUGGACACAAUUAUGCAUAAAAUUGAGCAAGGGAGGAAUGUUAAUGCUUUUAAUUCUUAUCAUGUGAUUUGUGACUUGUGUGGAAGUUAUCAUGCUACUAAUACAUGUAUGCAAGCACAAAAUGUGGAUUAUUAUGAUGAAUUAGAGCAUUACAAUCCUUGUUUUGAUCAAUAUAGUGCUAAUUGGAGCAAUUCUCCUGCUUAUGGUUGGGAUGAUCAAUGUACUUAUAGUGAUUAUUCAUGUUUUUAUGAUUACCAACCUGAAAGUGUCCAAUAUGAAUCAAAACCAUCUUGGGAGUUGGCAAUAGAGAAGUUAGCUAAUGCACCUCUGCCUUGGGAGUUAGAAAGUGAACCAUUAGCUAAUGAUUCUAAUGCAUCUUGGGAGCUAGCUGUAGAAAAUUUUUCUAAUCAAUUUGAUUUAGCAUUAGAAAAGCUAGCAAAUGUAACUUCCGACCGUUUUGAUAGGAUUGAGGAAAGAAUAGAUGAAUUAGCUUCUCACUUUGGUCGAAUACAUGAGCAAUUGAGUGCAUUGUGUGAAGUUAUUUCCUCUAAUAAUGUGCAAAAUGAUCCUAGCAUGAAUGGUGGGAAUGUUGUAUGUGAAAAUGGGUUGCAUUUUGAUGAAAAUGAUGAAUCUCAAGAGUGUUUUAAUGAGCAAAUAUCCAUUUCACAUGAUAAUAUCUUUGGAACUACCUUUGAACCUCAAGAGGUGAGUUUUAAUGGCUCAAUUUUCACCCCUCUUGAGGAGUGUAUAAAAAGUACAGGUUUUAAAGAUAUUCCUGCCCAAGAUACUCUAAUGGCAUUCCCUUUGGUAAGUUCUCAAGUGGUGCAUAUUCAAGGUAAUAUCUAUGAACCACUUGGGAUAGGUAAGUCACUUCCAUUUCUCACAUCAUUAGAUCAUGUGGCUUUUGCUAUAAAGUCACCAUUUAAUGAUCCACCACGACCACAAAUGGUGGAUUAUUCGCUAACAAAGCCUCCUUGAAAAAAUGAGGAGAAAUAGUCAAGCUAUUGACUUUAAAGAAGCGCUUAUUGGGAGGCAACCCAAUGUUUGUUUAAGUUCAUUUUACUUUGGAGUGAUUUUAUGUUUAAAGUAUAAGUUUGAGUAAUUUUGUUGUUUUUCAUUUGUAGGUUUUGGAAAAGUGACCAAAUGAGGUGAAAAAGCGAAGUUUGAUCAAAGAUCUCAAUACCUCAAAUUCAGUAAUUAUGAUUUUUGAUGCAUUAAAGAGGUUUAGAAUGCAUGUUUAGAUCAUUUUACAUGUGCGUGAAUGGUUUAUUUUGACAUAGAAAUGAUCUAGGGUGUAUUUUGAAGAAUUGAGGUCAAACUGAAAAUUGCAAAAAUUCUGCAAUAAGUGCAGAUUCAAUGGAUCCAAGGCCUCGGAUCCAUAUGGAUCCAAGGCCUCGGAUCCACUUCUGCAAUCAGAGAAAACUUCGAGCUUCUGGAUCCGAACUCGGAUCCAUAUGGAUCCAAGGCCUCGGAUCCACUUCUGCAAUCAGAAAAAAAUUCGAACUUCUUGAUCCGAGCUCACUCACAAUGAUCCGACCUCGGAUCCUUUCAAAAACGACCUCGGAUCCUGUUAAAAACGAAGACUUUGAUCACUUUUCAACUCCACUUUUCUUCAUGUUGGCUUGUUUUUAGUAAGUUUUAGUUGUUCGAUUAAUGUUUUUGUGUGUUUUGUAGGUGGCAAUGGCAAGAGUUCAUGCAAAUGAUCUCAAUUGCAAAGGUGUUUAUAUUAAGGCAAAAAGGGAGUUUUCAUGUUCAAUUGAUGCAUUUCAUGCAUUUAAGGUGUUUCAUGUUUAAGUUAUAUUCAUGCAUGAUCAUGUUAAAUUUGAAUUUUAUUCAAAAAACAUGAAGUAGGUUGAAUGUGGAAGGUUGGCCAAGCAAAUUUGGAGGAAAAACUGCAGAAAACAGCUUUUUCUGCAGCAAAUCCGGCCAUAAAUCCGGCCAAAUGUUGGCCGGAUUGAAGGCCGGAUAGUCAGGGGAGAAAAGAAAAUUUUUUCGAGCAUUCUGGACAGAAUCCGGCCGAAAAUCCGGCCUGAAAUCCGGCCAAAAACUGGCCGGAUUGUAAAAAAAAAAAAAAAAAUAAAAAAAGCCCACUGUAGCAAAUCCGGCCGGAAAUCCGCCAAAAACUGGCCGGAUAUGCAACAGUAAAAAAAAAAAAAAAAUUUCUGCCCAGAAUCCCUCCACGACUCACAAUUUUUCUCCCUUCUUCUUCAACCCAACUCACACACUAACACCUCAAACACACACCACUCACUAAAACACCACUUUUCACCAUUUAAUCUUCAAAUAACCUUCACCAAAUCACUUUCUCCCAUCCUCUAGAGUGAAUUUCAUAGUUCAUAUUUUUUCAAAAACAACUCUAAAGUGGUUUCAAGCUUACCAUUAGUUAGGGUUCUACCUUCUUGAAAUCACUCAAUUGAGGUCAAAUUGGAGUAAGUUUUUUUUGGGGGUUUUCACAUCAUAUUCAUCUCUAAACAUCACCAAACCACCUUGAGGUAACAAUUCUUCACCUAACUUUGUUAUUUGAAUUUUGCCAUGAAUGAAUAUUUUCUAUUUUUAGGCAAUUUUUAAUAUGUGAAGUUAGGUGCAUUUAUUUGAGCUUAUUGAUGCUAUUGGUGAUUGUUAGUGAUAACUAUAUUUUGUGAUUUGCAUUUAUUGUACUUAUUUGGUGAAUUCUUGCUAGUUUUAUGCUUAAUUUGGCUUGAUGACGAAGUUGCAUAUUAAGUAGCCAAAUGUAGCAUUUUAAUUAGCUUAGUGGGAGUUUUUUAUAUUUAUGUGAGUAAUUUAGAUUAUCUAAUGAAUGAAAAGGUGCUUGAUUGAAUGAUUUUGUGAAUUCUUAGGUAAUUCUAAAAGAAGAGGUGAAUUGAAGAUGACCUUAAUUGAUGAAAUUCAUAAAUGCACUUACAAUUUUUGUGGUUCAAUAGUUUUUAGUAUUUCAUGAAUUCUCACGAAGGUCAUUUAUAUUUUGGUUUGGUGUGUUUGCCUCCAUUUUGAGAUUACUUUUGUACUUGCGGGGAUUUGAUCAUUGAUGACAAAAUGUAUAAAUGGAACUUAUUUUGUUCAUGAUUGUGGAUUUUUUGUGUGAAAUUAGCUUCCCUUUGCUUUGGAUACUAAUGCAUAUAUUUGAUUAGCAAAGAUUAGCUCAUUUCAUGUUUUUAUCCCUUGAACAUUGUAUGGUUCCACAUGCUUGAUCAUUUUUCCUUUUUCCUUGAAUUGCAUGAUUUUGUUGAUUGCAACCUUUUAUUUUUAAGAAAUUUAUUUGUUUUGAUUUUGUCUUUUUCAGGGUGCAAUAAGUGAACUCUCCAUUCUUUCUCAAAUACGGUUGGAAAUUCAUCACUUGGACAUGGAUUCGGAUUGCGCAAGUUCAAUUGAGCAGUAUUUUCUUUUACUCCUUAUUUAUUUUCCUUUUCUCACAUUGAGGACAAUGUGAAGUUUAAGUGUGGGGGAGGAAAGUAUUGAACUUGCAUUUACUUGCUAGGUGAUGAUAUUUUGUGGAUUUAAAUGCUUAGAAAUGUUGGAAUUGUGUUUGAAAUGCUUGCCAUGUGGAUAAUUUGCUAGAAAAUAGGUUUGUUGGCAGGGAGUUUUCUUCCAUUUAUAAGGAGAAACUCUGUAAAAAUUUUUCUAAAAUCUUUUCCAAUAUUUCACUAUAGCCCAAAAUUUCUUCAAAUUUUUGCAUUUUCAUUCAAAAAGGGCUAAUUGUUCCAACCUUAUUCUUCCAAUUGUUGAAAUGUUAUAUGUAUUUUGGAAGGUUUAGUCCUCAUUUAACUUGGAAAUGGUUAUUAUGCAAUUAGAAUUUUUACAUUUUAGAAAGUAUAUUUGGUAAAAUGAGGAAAAUUAUGCCUAUAAUUUUACAUGUUUAAUGAGAUUUCUUCUCUUUACUUAAUUUUGCAAGUAAGUGAUUGAUAUAGUCGAUAAAGGUUAUAUUCCUCCUUUGAUUAUUCUUAUAUAUUUUCUAAGAGGGAAUAUCUAUUUAUUGUCCUUUAUUUCUGAAAAAAAAAAGUAGAAAAAAAAAGAGAGAGAAAAGAAAAGAAAGUAAAUAAAAAUUGUUCUACUCCAAUGAUUCUCGUACCGAGUAACCGGGGGUUGGCAUCUACAAAUGUCGACAUUCGCGUAAAAAGGUACUUGAAUUAAGAGUAUGCAUUAGCAACUUGAAUAAGUGAAAUGUUGAGUAACCGGGGAUCUUCACCUAAAAGUGUCGAUUUUCGCGUAAAAAGGCAUUCUCACUAUUUAAGUAAAAUUUGUGUGAAUAAAUCCCUCUUAGUUAUAGAAUUUUGAGAAAAAGAUGAUUAUAAGGAGGAGGAAGGCUAUAAAUUGACUAUGUGAUUUGCUUAUUUGUAAAAUUAAGUUAGGGUAAGAGAUUAAGUUUAACUUGUUGAAUUUAGGGUAUAAUUAUCUUUUCCUUUACUUGAUAUUAUGAGUAUUUAGUGUAAAUUGAAUAAUUGUAUAAUGAUUAUUUUCCAAGUCUUGAGGAAUUAAAUUGGACAAAGUGCAUAUAUUGUUUCACCUCUUGAAUCAUUGCAUUUGAUUAUGUGUGAAUUGCUUGAGGACAAGCAAUGAUUUAAGUGUGGGGGAGUUUGAUAAGUGACUAAUUUACGUAAUAAUUGUAUAAUAUUUUAUAUUAUUUUUAGUCACUUUAGUUAUAUUAUUGGAAGAAUAUGAAUCAUUUUGGCUAUAAUUGGUGAAAAAUGCUUUUAAGUGAUUAAAUGAGGUUUUUAUCACUUUUUAGUGGAUUUUGUGUAUUUUGACAGUUUUGACACAUUUUCGUAUUUCGGCUAUAACUUGAGCUACAAUGAUCGGAUUGGGAUGAUUCUUGAACCCAUUUGAAGAUAAGAGAUAGAUCUACAACUUUGGUGAAGACAUCUGAAUCCAGUUUGAAGGUUUUCCAGGUCAAAAAGCCGAAGUACAGAGUCAAUUGCUAUUGGUCGAAACUAGAACAAGGCAUGGAGCAGGCAAGGGUAUUUCGGUCAUAUCUCAGCCUACACAGAUCCAAAUGAGGUGAUUCUUGAUGCAUUGGAAAGAUAACUCAAAAGGUUACAACUUUCAUGUUUUAGACAUGAGCUGGUUCAGCCUCUAACAUCAAGAAAAGAUCGGUUGAAGUUGAGCCAAAAACAGAGCAAGUGAUCCACACUCGGAUCCACUAUUCAUCCGAACCCUCGGCUGUUUCUGGGUUAGUGGAUCCGAGCUCGGAUCCAUACGGAUCCGAGGUACUGUAGCAGCUCGGAUCACUGUAGCAGCCCAGAUUUACUGUAGCAAUCCGGCCGGAAUUUGGCCGGAUUUGUGGCCGGAUUCCUGGCCGGAUUGUGGUCAGAGAAGUCUGCUUUUUACGCGGAAAACUCAAUUUCACCUCCACCAACUCACAUGGGAUGCUAGACAUGUGAGAAACAUUACCAGCUGUAAGGAGAAAGUGAAAAGCUUCAUUCCUUGACCAUUUUCAUCAUUAAAAAGAGCCAAAUUCAUUGCAAGAAGGAGAGAUGGGAGUAGAUAGCAGAGAUUGGAGUUCAUAGCAGAAAAAUAGAGAGUGAGCUACGGGAGAAAGCUUGAAGCUGCAGAAAUGUAGCUCUUUCAUCUUCCUAGUGUUAGUUUAGCUUAGUAUAGAGUAGUGUAGCUUUUCCAUUCUUGUUUAUUAUCUAGAUUAGGAUGAAGAUGGAGGAUGAAGAAGGCAAGGAAGAAAGCUCAUGUGACAAGGGUUGUAUUCCUUCCAAACUCUUUAUCUUUUGUAUUUGAUUCCAAGUUUAGUUAAUAUACAAGUUCUGGAUUUUGUGUUUAAUAUGUGUAUCUAAAGUUUAAGCCUUGGGUUUGGUUGAACAUUCUAUGAUUGUUAGUGUUUAUUAUUUGGCUAUUUGAUUGCUAGUAUUUGAGCAAGUUAUUUAGCACUUUGGCUCUUGAAAUCAUGAUUAAUCUGGUACCAUUAAUUGUGAUUAUCUAAGGUGUUGUUUCUGCAAUGAAAAUUGAGAUUUAACACUAGUUCAAGAAGUGUUAAACAUAGGGAGUACACUCACGAAAGUAGAGGUGCACUUAUGUGGUUUUUAGUGAUUCAUUUCAUGUAAUUUCAUUGAAGAAAUGAACUUGUAACUAAUUUCAUAACCAUGAAAAUAGGUAUGGAUUAGUUAUGAGUAUAGUUGAUUCACUACGAAAGUAGGUUUCAAAUGCAUAAGGAAAUUACACCAUAACUAGCCUAAAUGUAGUAUUCAAUGAUCCAAAUGUAGCACUUGCAUGAGUAGUUAGGGAUACCACAACCUAAGGAGCUUUUAUUUGUUAUUUUGUAUAAUUUCAGUAGGUUAAAUUUCUUAUAAUUCAUUGAUAGUCUAAAUAAUAGAGAAGCUUUAGUAAUACCAGUAAUUGUUCACUCUUCCCUGUGGGAUCGACCCGAUAUAUACCCUAAACUACUAGUUGACCUGUAUACUUGCAGUGAACGGGUGUAAUUCGGUUUUUUAACUUGUACGUAUGUAAAAUACCCGUCAUAUACAGACAUGAAAGUUCUUAUUUCAAUAAACCAUUUUCUCUUUCUUAGAUGGUAUGCUUAAUUGAAGACUAUUAAUGGGUGAACGGAUACUUGAUUUUUACCCAUUUUUACAUCUAACUCUCGUCCAAUUAAUUUUGCUUACAGUUUAUCUCUCUUCCAAUAACUUUUAUCGCUUUUAAUAAAUUUAAAUUGUUCUUUUUUUUUAUCUAUAGUAACUUUAUUUACUAUGAAUUUAAUUGUUACAAUGGUAAAUUUAUUACCUUUGGCAUACAGAAAUGAAUAUAUCAUUAGGUCCCGUAUCUCGUGUGUUUUCUCCACAAUUUAUUCAUCUCUUUAGGAGUUCUGAAAAUGCAAAGGCAGCCUCUAUUAUCAGGAAUGGUAAUUGGGCGUGGCCAAGCGGGAAAAAUUACACUGCAGCAGUGAUUUAGUUGGUUGCUGCCACCCCUCCUUAGUUCCCUUUGAUUACUCAAGCUGACUCUGCAUUUUGGAAUCCUAGUCUUAAUAGUCAUUGUAUAUAGUAGGUUAUACUAAUAAUUGCAGAGAGGGAGUCCCUAUAGUUUGUGUACUCUUCUUGAGAAUCAACAAAAUGAUGGCACGAGCAUUGUCAUUGUGAAAAUUGGCACCGAGAAAUCUUAGAACAACAUAAAAACAAAAGAAACUGGAAUAUUUGUGUAAUUACUUAGGAAAUAUACUAAUUUAAGCAUGUCAAAAUAUCACUAUACAUCCAUUUUUUACUUAGAGAAAAAUACAAUUUUAGUCCUUAAUAUUUGGUUUGUGUGCCAAAUUAGUUCCUAAUGUAUCGAUCAAAGCAAAUACAGUCCCAAAACUUUUAAGAGAAAAAUUCAGUUUUAGUCCUUAAUAUUUGGCUUGUCUGUCAAAUUAAUCCCUAAUAUUUCAACCAAAACAAAUACUCUCCCAAAUUUUUUUUUAUUUCAGCCAUAAGGACAAUUGAUGAAAAUUUCAACAAUAACUAACGCUCAUUGCCAUUAGUCAACAAUUUUAAUUUUGCACUUAUGGUCCCCAAUGUUUGGAAUUCGAAUCAUAAUUGUCCUCUAAAUUUUAAAUAAGGAUAUUGAGGAUUUUGGAAUUAAAUAAGAUGCAAAUUAAAAUCAAAUUAUGAUAAAUGGGUAAUAAAAGUCUAAUAAUAAAAAUAUAAAAAAGGAACACAUCACUCAUAAGGGGAUAGAUGUAAUUUAGUCAAAUCACAAGGUUGAUUUUGUAAUUUGGCCAAGGCACGAGGGAGGAAGAUAUAAUAAAUUUGUAAAAUAAAGUACAUAUGCACCUCCUAUUGCUUGAGGGAUAAAUUUAUGAGGAUUUAUGAGUACUAGAUCUUAUGUACACUGACACUGGAUAGGCUAUCACAUUUGGAUAAAUGAUAUUGAUGCACAACCUAUGGCUUCAAAAUUAAUACAUAAUCCCCUCAUGAUUUGGAUUAAAGUAUUAAAGUGACGGAUAUGGUUAUUCGUAACGGAACUUUUAAAAAUGUCGAAAAUUAUGUUAUUGCUUUACCAUAUAACCCCCUUAUGAUUUUCAAAAUAUACACAUAACUCUCCUUGGUUAAUAAAUAAUUUUCACUUUACAUAAGUGUAUUUUUUAUAUUUUAGGUGACUCCACUACAAAUAAUCAUUUUCGUCAAUUUGACACUUUAAUUCAAAUCAUGAGAGAAUUAUGUAUAGUUUUUUAAACCAUAGGGGAAUUAUGUUAAAAAAACUAAACCACAGGGAGGUAAAGUGUAAUUUGUCCUAUUUUCUUUUAUUUAUAUAUUUGAUAUCCUAAAUUCACAAACAUACUUGUAUGUUAUAUAAAGGUUUUCUUUAUUUCAUAACCUUUUUUCUAAAUGUUUUUGCUAGCAAGAAGAGGUGAGAAUUACGGAGCGAGGAGGGAAUAGUGAGAUUUGAAUACAAGACCUUUAAUUUCUGAAACCUCAAAUCUCUAUUUUGCCACCUAAGAAUAUAUGAUCAGCACAUAAAUAAAGGGUAAAUUACACAAACUUGCUUGUAGAUUCACAAAUUGCCACAAAACUCUUUAACAUUUUAAAAUAUCUACAAAACUCCCUAUGAUUUCAAGCAAAGUGAAAAUUUGAUAGAAAAUAACCCCCAUAAAGUCUUUAGUUGAAAUAUCAGUAUUGUUCUUGUUUAGGUAUUAAAUUGACAAUGGCAUGAGCAUUUUUCCAUAAAAUCAUAUGAGAAUUUCGUCAAUAAAUGCAAAACUUACAACCGUUAAAGUGGAUAUUUAUGUAAAUUAUAAAGGUUUAGACGAAUAUUAUGAUUUUGUCAUGCACAUUUUUUUGAGCACAUCUAGAUGAGUCACCGUAAUAGUUGGUAUUUUUGUCUAUUUUCUACUUCACAUAAAAUUAUAGGAGAUCAUGUAGGUAUUUUAAAACCUUAAAAAGGAAUAUGUAGCAAUAUGAAAAAUCACAGUGGAGUUAAGUGUAAUUUACACAAAAAUAUAGAUGGACUAACUCUCACCUUAGAGCCUUCAUAAAAACCGUCGAGAUAAAUAGCGGCGGAGGAGGGUGAACAGACCGGGUUGAAUGAAAAAGUGGCGAGGAUGAAGAGGAGAAAGAUCAGCAGGCCAUCAGACUUCAAAAUCCCUGUUGAUGUAGUCUUCGAUGUGCUCAAAAGACUUCCAGCAAAGUCGCUCAUGCGAUUCAAAGCGGUCUCUAAGGCAUGGCAUUGCCUAAUCUGCGAUCCCUACUUUGCAGAAUCUCACCGUGAUUAUUCUCAUAUUAGGCCUGAUGCCUCCUAUUUUCUAUUUGGAUUCGUUCAAAUACUAUUGUCCCAACAAAUCUUAAUGAAUGCUUUUCCUCCCAAAUUCCUACUCAUGCUUUCCAAAAUUAUGUGCUUUGCACCGAAAUUGUGCAUGGCCUUGUCUGUUUGUUAGAGAAGAAAAUUCUGCAGCCUCACGUCCUCAAUCUCACCACAGGGGAGAAGAUGGCUCUUCCAUGGACACCGUUGAGCGCUGUAAACAGAUACGAAACUGUUAGCCGUUCUUAUGCCAUGGGUUUUGAUCCAUCUACCAAGAAAUAUGUAGUCAUCUUCAUACUUAAAAAUAAAGAAAAUUUAAAUAAGGAGUGUAGGAUCCUUGCCUUGGGAGCCCCAUCAUGGAGGAAAAUACACGAGUUACCAAUUUGGGGACUUUCUCAAAGGAAUAUAUACGCUAAUGGAACCAUAUAUUGGAUGGAUGAAUUAGCCAUGAAUGGUAGAAAAGGUAUUCACUGUUUCAGUGUUGCUGGGGAGAAAUUUGAAGUACUUUUUGGACCUGAAGGUGUCAAAAGCACAGGGCAAUUAGCACAAGUUAGAGGGUGUUUGGCUUUUUUAUGCCUGAAAGAUGCUUCUUCAGGAAUGUGUGACCUCUGGAGAAUGGACAGGAAUAAGAACAAAGUCUGGACCAAGACCACAAUUCAAAUCAAAUUGUGGGACUCUCCUCCUGUUAUGCUUGAAAUUAAAAUUAUUGGCUCCACAAAAAGAGGUGAAAUCUUAAUUACAGUUGGUAGCAAGUGGUCACCUAGGAGCAAAUUAAUUGUUUAUGAUUUGGAAACUGGAAAAUUUAGGACUACUUGGAUCACCUGUCCAUCGCAUCCUAAGGGCAAAGUUUGAGACCUGAUUUUCUUAGUUUCUCAUGCUUCUGCGGGCGAUCAUGUGGAAAACAUUCUUCCCCUGGAGACUUGCAAGGGAAAGAAGAACAGAAAAGAACAAAUCAGCUUAAAAUGUGUAUCAAGUUCACUAUUUGACGGUUAUGUUCAAUAUUAAUGCGCAGAGUCAUACGUGCAAUGAUUGUAACAGUGAUGAAUUUUCUCUAGUGUUGGGGUUUAUUUUACUGUUAGAUUCCGUGAUUCUACAGAUAUUCUGUGAUUUGGCUAGCUUCUAUAUAGUAUAGUUUUGAAUGAUAUGUAUUUUACCUCAAAAAAGAGAAUGCAAGUUUUUUCUGGAAUGACUUUCUUGCAAAUUUGGUGUCUGGAUAUUACUGGAUAACUGUUACUCAUCUUUCUUUCUUGUUUUUACUGGGAAAAUCUGCAACUAUUGUUGACUCAGGUAUUUGAAAUUUCAAAAUCUCAGUGACCAUCUCUCAUGCAGUGGCGAGGUUCCAAUUUUGAAGAUGACAUGUUUCAGCUGACAAAUUUAACAAGUUCGGGUGGCAGUAGUACUGAAAUUUCACUUGCAUCAAAGUAUUCCAAUCCAUGAUCCACAUAUUGAAACAUCGUGUAGUUUAAUAAGAGUAGCCUUGGUUCUUGAGUUACAAAGAGAAAAUGAUAAUGUGCCUUUAGAAGUGUGAGCCCCCGUAGCACAAUGCAACUAAUAUAUCUAUUCUUAAUCUGUGCUCAUUCACUACAUUGUCACUUUUCAGAACGAAAACCCGAAUGAUCGUCUUAAAUAUCUGCAUUGACCAAAUGCCUUUAACUGAACUGCCAAAAAAAAAAAAAAAAAAGGGAUUUAGGACUAAGCUAUACGUAUGUAUAUAAAAUCACAUAGUGAAAUGCAUAUUUGACAGACAUAAUAAUAUGUGGAAGAAGAGGAGUUUUAUUAAUCACAAACAAAACCCUUACAAUUUCUUUAAUUUUGCUUAAACUCUUCUCAAUUAAAUAUGAUAAUAAAAACCUUAUGUAUAGUGCACAAGGCUUGGUAAUUUAGAAACCAAACAAGAAACUACUAAAUAUUGCUCUAUACCUAGAACAAGAAAAUUACUGAAAUUUGACUAGAACAAGAAUUUCUAAAUCAACAAUGGGAAACAUCAAAAACUUGGUUUAAUUAUGCCAACAUAUAGGAAUUUCCAUCUUUCUUUCAUAUUUCUGUUUCUUAAUUCGCUCACCCUUUUCCAGAAGGAAAACUAAUGAAUUGCGUUUCCUUUCCCAUCCGGGCGAUGCACUCAUCAGCAGCCCGGCCGGAUAAAUUAUUGGAAACCAAACUAAGUUCAAUAUAAAUGGUAAGUAGCCCAGCACCAUGUCCCUGAACAAAGAAUUGAAGCGAAGCUGAAGACUAAAUCACGGAUUCUAUGGGGAGAUUUAAGUGGAACUGGAAGAAUAAGGCUAUGGAGAAGGGUAAGGGAAACGUUUCAAAGCCUCCCCAACUUCCAGAAGAUGUAAUCUUCAAUGUGCUCAAACGGCUGCCCAACUCUAACCAACAAAUACGUUAUGAGGGUUUGUUUAAGUUAGAUCAUACGUUUCCCUAACAUGGGACCAAUCACUCGAGUCGCUACUGGUAUUGACCAAUCAAACAAUUAUGGAUUUAACCGGUUAAUUUGGAGUAGAUUAUUAGGUUAAUUCGAAUAUCAAACCCUUGACAUUUAAAUAACAAAACAAUCAUAAGAAACUAAACUAAAAAACGUACAAAUACCAAUGAAUAAAAAAAAAUAAAUAAAAAUAAUUCGAUCUCAUAGAUGUUUGGAACCCUGACUUCAAGUCAACCCUUGACUAGAAAAGAAGAUUUAGCUACGCGUCCUCAAGGGAAAUCCACAGGACUCCAUUGAUAACAAUUGCAUAUCAUUUUUCUCCUCAAACUUACGAAAGAUAAGAAGAAUCCCUCCGUGAUACUUCGAAAAGUUAUCCCAAAAAAUGUUGCUGGCUAACUCCUAAUCGCACGGAAAUCCGGCUUUCUUUUUUUCCUCGUUUCCUAAUUGAAGUCUAUUUCUAACUAAAAACGAAUCUCCUAAAUAGAAAAAUAAACCACAAAAGAAAAUAUUCCAAGUUUCCUAAUUGAACCAUAAAACUAAUAAUGAGAAUUCAAGUCUUCCAAAUAUUCCUCUAAAGUUGCCCAGAGUUUGAAUCGAAUUUGGAAAUGGGCCCCGAACAUGUGAAUCCCAAAUCCUUCAACCUUGACAACCAAUUUGCAGAAAAUCACUCAUUUUUAGGAACUUUCACUCCAACACCCUACAAUUAGUACAAGUAACCAAAUAUAAGUAGAAUCCAUCAAUUAAAAUAAUAUCUGGUUAAAAUAAAGGGAAAAAAUCAUAAAUUAAAUAACAAUUUUGCACCCUAUUAGUGCUGGAAUUGAUUUAAAUCAACUAACAGUCUCGUAUACUUUUUCCAUAUUUUCUUUUAUGAGAGGUUUGCCGUUAGAGUCACUUAAGAUUGGUUUGUCUUCCUUUCCUCCUCCAUUUGUUACUUACAUUGUAAUUUCUAUAAAUGGCAAAUUCAUGGAACAAUUCCGUCUAAUUCAAAGUUCUUUCCUCCCUCUAAUAGCAUUCGAUAUAGGUUUUGGUUAUAUGACAUUAGAAGUUUGUUUUAGAAACAAUUCUUGCCUUUGUACUUUCUCGUAAGCAAAGAAAAUUAGCCGAUACAGGUAUGCUGGAUAUCGUGAUGAUAAUCGAUAAAACAAACUGGAUUCCUAACUUUUUAAGUCAUCGACCCUGAAUUGGCCAACAUUUGAUAUACGUCAAUAACAAAACACAACUUUUGAUCCUCAAUAUUUGAUCUGUGUGCCAAAUUGGUGCCUUAUAUUUCAGUCAAAACAAAUAUAGAUCCCAAAAUUUGUGAUUGUAAGCAGAUUUAGGACAAUAAUGGAAAACCAUCUUAACUAAUAGUCAACAUCAAAUUGGGGCUAAUCAAAAGUUUUGAAUUUGCAUAUUUAAUCCCUAAUAUUUUAAGUUUUGAUCAUUAUGGGUCCCUUAGAUUAGAUUUUAAGUAGUUACAACCAGGGCUUUUAAGAUGAAAUGAUAUCUGAAUUGAAUUAGAUAUAUGACAAAUAUGUUCCUAAAUAUCUAUAAAAUUUCAUAGCACGUUGUAUUAGCACAACAUGAUUGCAGCCUAAAUAGCAUAUCUUUGUUAGAUAAGCUAUAAUUUGAUGACAAUAUGCCAAUAAUAAAUAAAAUAUAAAAGUAGUGGAAGAAAAAGAAAAUUCUAAUUUUAUAAUCUAAGUAUAUUAUAGUUACUACUACACAAAUUGUUAUAUGUCUUGUGCAUGUAGAUUUCAAAUUCUUGUAGUUAGCCAUUAUACUUAAAAAAACUAUUGAAGAUAAGUAUCAAUGUGAAGGUAUUUUAGGAUUUUUGGGAUCUUUCUUUGGUUUUUUUGGGAAAAAUCAUUUAAAACGUUUCUCACAUUUUGUAAAAUGAUUUUUUUCGUCCCUCACUUUUAAAAGUGUAUUUUUACAUCCCUUACAAAUUCACAUUGAUCAAAUUUGAUCCCUACUUAGGUUUCCGCCAAAUUUUUGGCUGAAAUUCGUCACAUGCCUUGCAUGUGAUCAUUUUUAGGGGCAAAAUUGUCAAAUUAAAAUUUGCAUAAUCCGAUCUAUAGUCUCUUACAUUUUACAAAAUGAAUUGUUCCGUCCCUCACACUUCACAAAAUAAAUUUUUUAAUCCCUCGCAUUUUACAAAAUGAAUUUUUUUAUCCCUCAUUAACCUUGUGUAUAAAAAGUUUUUUUUUAAAUCCAUGUAUAUAUCCAUUUGAUUUCACUUGAACAGUACGAAUAACAUGUAAUAUUUUUCUAUUUGAUUUCACUUAAACAGACUAAUUGUAAUUGUAUACAUGCUAUUUAAUAGAUAUAUACAUGGAUUUAAAUCUAACAAUUUUGUUUUAAAUUCAUAUAUAUAUAUUUAUUUGAUUUUACCACGUGAAUCUAUUCAAUAUUUUUAACCUUUCUCUUUUGGUAAUAAUUCAUUUAUUGAGUUGUGUAAUGAGGCCAUCUAAUUAAUCAGUCCUAAUUCGAAUUCUAUAGUUAUGCUAACAAAUUGCAGUUUAAAUUUGAAAUUUUUAGUCACCACCUUUAAGACCAACAGUUGAAUUUCUUGCCUUUUGAUUGUCUUAAAAUUUGAAAGUGUCAAUCACUUACUUCUUUUUGUCAUACUUUUUCUUUGUUUAUUUUUUCUAUCCAAAUUUAAUUCGAUAUAAACACUUGAUAAUAUUUAGAAUUAAAUGUCUUCUUUAUUUUCAAUUUUCGAGUAAACGAAAAUAAACAUAAGUCAAAAGCUAAUAAUUUUUUUAAACUCUCUGGAUAUAUCUAUUUAAUUUCACUUGAACAGUACGUUCAAACGAAAUCAAAUAGAGAUAUAUUAUAUGCUAUUCGUAUUGUUCAUGUGAGAUUAAAUAGAUAUAUACAUGAGUUUAAAAAAAAUUAUUCAUACACAUGAUUAAUGAUGGAUGAAAAAUUUUAUUUUAUAAAAUAUAAGGGAUGAAAAAAUUCAUUUUGUGAAAUAUGAGGGACGAAAUAAUUCAUUUUGUGAAAUGUAACGGACAAAAAAAUUAAUUUUAUGAAAUGUGAGGGACUAUGAAUCAGAUUAUGUAAAUUUUGAUUUGAUAAUUUUGCCCUUAAAAAAUGAUCACAUAUAAGACACGUGAUAGAUUCCGACUAAAAACUAGUCGAAAAUUUAGAUAGGGACUAAAUUUGAUCAAUGUGAAUUUGUAAGGGAUGUAAAAGUACACUUUUAAAAGUGAGGGACGAAAAAAGUCAUUUUGUAAAAUUUGAGAGAUAUUUUAAACGAUUUUUUCUUUUUUUUUUGAAAGCUUUCUUUUAUUUUUUUUUUGUUGUCUUUUCUACCAAUUAAAAUCCAACGUUCCAAUACUUUAGCUUUAAAGUAUUUAUUUUAAUAUCUAUAUACCUUGAUAAUCAUUUAAUAGUUCAUAUAAUGUGUAUAAAAUGUCAAUUUCAUUUCAAAUUCAAUUGAUAAAUUGUUUAAAAUGCAAAAAAAAAAAAUCAACUUAAUUUGCCAAAACGUUAUAUUCCUUAUAGUUUGAAAAGAUAUAUAGUUAAGUUUAUUCAAAUAUUGCUAGAAAUAAAAAUACUAAAAAAAAAUAUCAAUUAUUUAUUAAUAGUGAGAAAUACUUAUACACAUAAAUUAUACCAAAUUUAAGAUUAACUGCAGAAAAAUGAAACAUAUCAGAUAUAUUUGGCAUGAAUAAGUGAAAUAAAUGUUAGAGGAGAAGUUUAAUUAGAAUUCUUGUUACCUAUUUAAUUUGCAUCUCAAAUCAUGCUAAAACCCUUAAUAUAAUAAUUUAAAAUUUAGGAAAAAAAUAAUUAUUCAAAAUCCAAACAUUGAAGACCAAAAUUGAAAGUUAAAAUUGUUGACUAACGGCAAUUCAAUGUUCACCGUUAGUCAUUGUUCAAUUUCUAUUAAUUGUCUCAAAUUUGCCUAAACUCACAAACUUUGGGGACUAAAUUUAUUUUGACAGAUACACUAGAGACCAAUUGGACACACAUGGCAAAUAUUGGAAACCGAAACUAUAAUUCUCCCCAAUAUUCUCGUGAUCUCUUCCAAUGAACGAAGAAGUUCCCUUUUUAAUCCCCUUUUGUACCAGCUCUUUCCUAACCGUCUCUUCUAUAUAUUUUUUUCUCUAAUUUCCCUUGUUAAUUACGUACCCUAAAAAGAAUUCUUCACUACCUCUUCAACUUUUUUCAUGAUCACUCAGAAAUAACAAGAGAGACUCCCCCCCCCCCCCCCCCACACACUAAUAAAAAAAGACAUAAGAGCGACGAAACAUAACAACAACAAACUCAGAUCCAAUUACUUUGAUCAUGGGAAAGAGGAAGAGAAGAGGGGAUUUGGAGCUUCAACUCCCGGAUGAUAUUCUCUUGAACAUAUUCAAAAGAAUUCCAGCAAAGCCUCUUAUGCGACUCAAGUGCGUUUGUAAGUCUUGGAAAACCCUAAUUUCCAGCCCCUACCUUGCUAAUUUGCACUACAAAGUCUCACAAACUCGGCCCGAUGCCUCCUAUCUUAUAUUCUAUCUUAGAAAAAACUUUUCAACGAUCCGAUCAAUCUUCCCUACAAAUCUUGAAGCCGCCUUGACAGCUGGACUCCCUACUCAUAACUUCCAACAAUCUUCACCAUGCACAGAUAUUGUCAAUGGUCUCAUCUGUUUCUUCGACCGGAAAGAUUAUCAACUUAAGAUGCUGAAUAUUACCACCGGGGAAAAGGUAACGCUUCCUUAUCAGCGUCCACUACAAUUCCGUUAUCCAUCAAUGUUUCUGGGAUUUGAUCCUCAUAGGAAGGAAUAUAAAGUGCUCUGCACUUUGGAUUUCGGCAGGCAAGUUAAGUGGAGGAUUCUUACAAUUGGAACGAAUUUGUGGAGGACGAUGGGCAACAAACCACUACUGGAGAAAUUCAAGAAGGGGACAAUUUGCGUGGAUGGAUGUAUUUAUUGGAAAGAUGAAUUGUUCGUAGAUGGUGAAAGAGCUAUACAAUAUUUUCAUGUUGGGGAGGAGAAGUUUGGGAUGGUUUUUCCUCCCAAAAGGACUAAAAGAAUUCGUCAAGUGACACGGAUUGGAGAUGAUCUUGCCAUCGUAUACAGAAAACCAUUUUGUCAUAAUUUGUUGAAGCUAUGGAUAUUCAACAAGGAGGAUAAAAAUUGGGCCAAGAAUGUAAUCAAAUUGCCAAGAAUUCCAGUUUCCAGACUUGAAGUCAUAGGGACAACGCACAAAACUAGUGAAAUCUUGAUGACUACAAAAUUGGGGUACCAUGACAUGUUGCAGUUAGUAUUUUACAAUCUGGAAACAGAAAAUUUAAGGACCAGCAAUAUUUCUUGUCCUGGGAUGCCUAGCAUAGCAGCUGGUAAUCUCCUUUCCUAUGAUGCAAGUGCUACUGUGAGCAAUCAUGUAGAAAACAUUUUUCCACUGGAAUUUUCAAGCCAAGGAACAGCAUAAAACAAAUGCAGAAAAUAAAGAGGAGAAUAGUAAAUCGUUCCUUGUUACCAUCCUUUAUUAGUUCUUAGUCUUUUAGUUUCCUUCUACUCAGUGCAGUAUUUUGUGUAGUUAAUUUGGUAGCUAUAAACUUUAAUUUUGAUUUUGCUGCUACAAACUUUAAUUUCAUCAUCAUUUGUGGUGUGUUUCCGUUGUAGGAAACAAGUUACUUCGCAAUCCCGCAUCUGGCCUAUUCCCGUCUAGUGCUGGAUCCAAAGUACCCAAUUUGUGUUCCUUGGUAAUGCGAAGUGUUCCUCAAAGAUUUUGGCCCAAUAGAUAGGGUAUGGUAGGACCUUAUUUCAAUCGAUUUCAUAUUUAACCUUUGAUCAUGGAUGAUUACCUUUCGGUUAAUAGUGAAGCACGCGUGGCACAAUUAAUUCAUAAAAUCACUUUGCACCAUGCUGCAGUAUCUUGAUCUUUAAUCUUUGGUUAGUUUGUUUAAAUCAUUCACAAACACAAUUUCCAACAUUUUGCGCAGGAAAGAUGUUGAUUUUCUUCUACCUUCUUUUGUAUAUCUUUUCCAUAUCAGGUUUUUUGCAAAAACCAUUUUAUGAGAGUUGCCAAUAUUGAAUGCUUAAUGAACAUUUUUAAAGAAAUGAAUGAAACAUGAUUCUGCCAAAUGCAUAAGACAACCAUCCAUGAACACUCAGGUAAUCUCAUUUAUUAGAGGAUAGCAACAGCCAAGGUAAAAUCUCUACAUUUAUCUCAUCACGCCGCACAAGCAAGAAAAGCAAAAUCUCUACAUUUAUCUCAUCACAGUUAUGGAAAGAUGAGGACCGAUCAAUUUGAGUACUUAACAACAAUAUCAUGUAAUUUGACAUAGAAAUAAAAGGUCUUAGCUCUGCUGCAUUUGUUUCCUCAAAUUUCCAAGGGGACCGUAAUGUUUUUCAGCUGUAUCCUGCGUCCUGCAUUUGCAGCUACCUAUAUUAAGAUUCGUACCACAUCUGAGGCAUAUGCCUUUACAUUUUGGGUCACAAAUUGCAUCAAUGGUGAUUUCUACAUGCAAUAUAUCUCUUAUAGGCUUCGAAAUGUCAAUUUCUUUAUCUUCUGGAGGAAAAUGCAGCUGAUCAUCAAUAUCAUUAUCUUCGUCUUCCAGUCCAUCAUUAUCAAAUGACCUAAACUUCUCUUCCCCAUAAAUUACACCCAUAUCCAUUGUUUCUGGUUCUUCAAAGGGUUCCUCACUUAGUACAAGUGAGAAAUUGGAAAAAACACUCUUAGCAGCUGAUUCACCACACCUACACGCACAAGACAUACAACUUAGCAAUUGGCAAACGAGAUGAUAAUUAGCAUUUACAGGCAAUUUUUAAUGACAUUCUCCCAUCAAAUGGCUAGGGUAACGUAUCUACAUAAUGGCAAAUGAUAAGCAAAUUCUACAGACAAUUUACAAGCAUUUUCUCAUCAAGUGGCCAGGAUAAAUACACGAAUAUCCCAAGGAAGCUAAAGUAACUUGACUACAGUCCUUAUUAACAGUCUCAUCAAGGCUUCUUGUCACCCCUAGAGAACUGAUGGGGCAGCCACAUACUUUUGAUUCAUCUAAGAUCUGUUUUAGUUAUUAAGUUAUUUAUGCUCUGCCUUCCACCUAACCAUCUUUUGCAGAAACUGCGUGCCAUUUCCUCCUACAAGAUCAGGUUUUUAAUCUGAAUACUUCUGCCGCAACAUAUAAUACAGAGAGACAGACAGACAGACAGACAGAGACAGAUGAAUUGAUCAAACUGCAAUCCAAACCUUCUAAUGGUGAAUAACUUUAAAUAAUCAAUGCUUGCACAGGCCUAAAUUAACACUGCAAUUAAGCAAAUCGAAAAAUUACAUUACAAAUCAACAAUAUCCUAAUCAUAUUACCUUGAAGGAUAUUGUUCCGGCCAAUGCAUCAAGGUCCUCAACCAAUUUUCCCAUCCUAAUCUCAUUCCAAGGAUUCCUAUACUGUUCCCUCAGAAUAUAAUCAGUGGAAAACUUAUACACGAUACUAGUCCUACUCUUUGAUGGAGGCUUAGCAAUCAACUCAUUAGGUGAAGGGGCAUCAGCUGCAACAUUGUUAAGUCUCUCAAAAAUACUAGACCUUGCUUCCCAUAAGGCAUUUGUGACAGGGAAUGGUACAUUCCUGGCCACAAACUAAUAGGUUUCCUCAUUGAAUGGCCUGCAUCAAUUGGUGCAGAAGUCUCAAAUCGUGGACUCAUUGUUGAAUUCACAGGGAUUGAAUCACUAGAACCAAACUCCAUUGGUUUAACAGAAAAGGGGUCUGAUGGUGCUGAUGAGAAUGACCUUUUCUGAGUAAAUUUAUAAAACAUUCGAUCAAAAGAGAUAAUUUUGAACAUGGGUUCUGGUUUCCUGAAUGAAUUAAGAAAACGGGUACAAGAAAUUCCAUCAUUUAGGUGUUUUCCAGAUUGGAUACUGGUGGAGGAAAAGUUAGUCCGAAAUUUCAGGCCUGUAGCUGUAGGAGGCAGAUUUUGGUCAAUAGAUGUGAUUUUGUUAAUGGAUUUUGGCUGUUUUGAUGAACCAGUAAAGUUGGUUUGUGUGAAUUCAUGAUUUAGGGGAGUUAUGGAGGAAGAAGGAAGAGUUUUGGCGUGAUAAAAGUGCAAUCUUGAUGAAGCAAUUGUUCUGUGAAACUCCAUGUUGAGAAAGUAAGAAACCAGUGUGUGGAUUGAUCUUUUACCCACAUCCAUGCUUGAAACAGUUGGGGAGUUUGGUGAUUUGAAGAAGAAAUGAGAGAUUAGCAUGGUUGGACGUUUCAUGGAUUCAAAAGAAAGAUUGAAGCUGAUGACGAUUUCAAGAUUUGUAAGGUUUGAUCGGUCUUGCGUGGAAGUGUUCAAGUGGAAAAUGUUAGCAAAUUAUGGCCAGUUUGGUUCAGACUGGUUGGGCUCUGAGCUCGGUAGCAGAUUGGGAGUAUUUUGCAUAUUCGAAAAAAUGCACUUUUUAUCCCCAAUGUUUGGGGUAUUGGAUAAUUUUAUCCCUAAAGUUUCAGUCAAAACACAUUUCACCCUCUUAAUUUCAUAAUUUCAACCAAUUUCAUCCCUAAAGUUUUAUACAAACAUAUUUCAUCCUCAUAAUUUCAUAAAUUUGAUCAAUUAAAGGCAGUUGAAUGAUUGUUAACCAAUUUGGAUAGAAUAUCAUCACAUGACUAGCAUGUCCAAUUAAUGAUUGAAUAGCUAAUACUUAAUUCGGUCAUUGAUUAAAUUAUUUAAAUAAUAAUGAGUGUAUUGGGUCAAGAGAUUAUUUUUUUAAAUUUAUGAUAUGAUGUAUGUGAAACAAAAAAUAGAUUGGAUGAUAAAUAGACAAUUUGAAAAACAUGUAUAUGAUGCAACAAAAUAAAAUCUUGCAAAUAAAUGACAAUUUAAACAAUUCUUUUGUUCACAUUAGUAUUUUUCUCCAAUUGGUUGCAAUGGGAUUAUUUGAAAAUUUUCUCCAAUUGACUAUAAUGGGAUUGUUUCUUCUCCCCGACUUUAUUUUCUCUCGAUCUUUUUGUUCAAUUUGUGAUUAAGAAGAUAGUAAUGUUGGCUGAAAAUUUGUGAGUUUUUUUAAAUAAGAAAGUGAACUAAAAAAUGAUUUUUGAGAUUUUUGUUAAUCUAUUAUUUUUUUGUAUUUUACUAAUGGGUAUGCUAUGGUCAAAUGAUGAUAUUCCAUUCAAAUUGCUUGACAAUUUAUCAGUUGUCCUUAAUUAGUCAAAUUUAUGAAACUAUGAGGACGAAAUGUGUUUGCACGAAACUUUAGGGACGAAGUUGUCCAAUACCUUAAGUAUUGAGGAUGCAAAGUGCAUUUUUGCCUUGCAUAUUUAUCAAGUUUUACCAUUUUACAUUUUCUGUUCCUAACUUAUUUAUAGCCUUUACACAUAUUCUAUUAAAAUUUUUUUAAUAACUUUUUUGUGUAUAGAAAAAUAAAACAUAUGAAAGUAGUUUUUAGUUUAUAGUUAUAUUAAUUUAAUUUAGUUUAAAUCUAUCAUUUUUCAUUUACUAAAUUCUUGAUAAAGUAUGUUGUUUGUGAAUAUAAUGACCACAAUAGUAGUAAUAAAAAUAGCAAUUAGUAUUUGUAUUUGGAUAAAAAAAAUCACAUAAACCAAGCUAUUAAUGCAACAGUGCAAUCUAUAAAAGGAAAUUGCGUGGAAAAUUUACUUCUAAAGAUCCAUUGUUAUCCCUCCAAUCUCAAAACAAUUAAAUCCGAAAUAUCAAUAAUGUUUUAUAAUUAAUACAUUAGUGUGUCAAAACUAAAGCAAUAGAAAUAGUGAUAGUGUAUCAAUUUGUUUUGUUUAAGUUUGAGGGGAAUUUGUAGCUUAAAAUAAGGAAGAACAAAAAAAAUCAUUUUCUAUACAAUUUUGUAAAGCUUUAAUGUUCUCGAUUCUAAUAGUAGAAAGGAAUUGAUUUGCUUCUAGUUUAUAUGGAGAUUCUUAUUUUAGUUUUCAAUAAAUACCUAGGUAAGUACCAAAAAGGAUAUUAUUCAAGAAAUCACUAUUGUAUUGAUCCCUUUAAUGUCAAGCACUUUUGUAAAAAGAUUUAUGCAAAUUGUUACAUUAUUGUUAAUUUUGCUCUUAUAAUUUGUUUGAAGAUUUUCCCCCUUUGUUUGCCAAUAUUCUACAGCUCUACAUUAAGAAAACUUAUAAAAUGGCAAUAGUGAAAUAAAGAUAUUGGUUAUUAAAAAAAUAUGAAAGUGUAAUGACAUGAAUAUGUGUUAUAACUUCUCAGCAAUGAGUGCCACAAUAACGUUUAGUUGACAUACCAUUAAUGUGCUACGUUCUAAUUUACUGAAUUUGAACCAUUUGAACUUCUACACGAUUUUUUUAAACUAUAGCAUUGCAAUAUUUCUUAUGUUUCUAAACCAAAAAGUAAGUCUUUAAUAAUUCUGAUUUUCUGUUUAAUUAUGAAGUGUUCGAAUUGCAAGCCCUUUUGGGUUUGCCGAUAAAGAUGAGGACAAAAUGAUAACCAAUAUUAGUCCCUACGAAUUUUAGCACAACAAUAAAUAAUUAAUACAAGAAAACAAUUUACAAUAAAUUGAUCAUCAAUGCUUUAGUUAUUUGAGCAAGCUAUGAAAAGUAAAAAUAUAGGUUAGAUGAAUAUAAUUUAUUUAUGGAACCCAUUGAAAUAUUAUAAAUACUGUAAUAUAUAUGUAAUAAUUUCUUCUUCUCACUUUUAUUUUCUAUUUUUCUUCAGUUGUAACUUGCAAAAGUUAAAAGCUAAAGCAAAGUCACCAAAUGCCAAUAUUACCAAGAAGUAGACAAUUUUGUUCACAAUACGAUAAAUAGAAUAGAAUUGAGAAACUUGGAGGGAAAGUGUUGGACCUUUGCACAUAUGAGAUGAAUUUGGCUUUUAUGUUUAACAUCAUUUGUUGCUUUUAUGUUUAACAUCAUAGGGAAUUUUUUGUAUAAUUUAGAUGUUUACUAUGAUAAACAAAUUAGAAAUGAUUUAUGAUAUUGUCAUGAGUUGAAUAAAAUUAGUAUGAAAUAAUAAAACCAAUUAACUUAUGACCAGUAGCUUUCAGGGGUCAAUAAAUAGGUUGAGUUAAUUUUGAAAUUUCCUUGAAUCAUGUGAAGAAGCCUAAGCCCUUACUACUUGGACUAAGCACAAAUAGGGCAAGGGAUGGGAGCUAGAAGGAAAGCAAAAGGAGGAGAAGGGAGGGAGAAGAGUCUAAGUAGUGGUAUAUUGUUUUGGAUAUUUUAUAGAAAAAUGAUUUUUUCCAAUGUUCUUAACAAGCUAUUGUAAUCUUAUAGAUUGUGUUUGAAAAAAAGGAAAAAAAUUGUCCUUACAAACCCCUUAAUUGUUAUAUAUCUCUAGACCUCAAUCUUUUUUUUUUUUGAGAUUUCUGAAUGUUUUAGAUAGCUUAAAAAUGCUUUUAAAUUUUGAAAUCCACCUACAAGAAGUGACUUUAAAUCACGACAUUACUAAAGAAUAGGCAUAAAUAGGGAAUCUCUAAAAUCAAGGAGGUGAAUUAUUGAUCAAGGAGGUGAAUUAUCAUUUAGUUUGAUUCUGUUGCCGUUUAGUUGUAAUCAUAAUGUCGCAUAGUAAAGUAUUUUCUUAAGUUUUGAAGUAGUAAUUGUAACUCAAGAUAAUCUUACUUUUGAAGUUACUUGAGUUAGACACUAUAGGUUUUCAUCUUAUUACAAACUUGACACUCAUAACUUCACAUAAAUUAAUCAGUUCAAUUAUGAUACAGAAAAAAAUUCCAAUAUAUUCUCCUAAUUACAUAAGGCCUGUUUCUAUACACCAAAAAGUUAAAAAAAAAUACACGUUAGCAUUGAUCACGCAUCAAGAAAGUAUCUAGAGACAUCAAUUCUAAGGAAAAGUUUAUGUGUAGACAUUUUAACAUAUACUCAAAAGUGAUGAAACCCCGCUUAAGACUGAGCAUUGGACAACUCUCACUAAAGAAAAGCAUCCAAAAUCAUUUUUAUUUCUCCAUUUUAAACUAAAGCUUAACUUCAAACGGAAGUUAAUUAAUGUUGAGAAAUUCAAGAACGAAAUAAAUGAAAAGAGAAGCAUCUCGAUUUUAUAAACUAUAACUCUAUUUAGAUUGUCUGUUUUUCUCACAAACUAUUUCUUUUGUGGAGGCUACACUAACAUACUCCAAAAAAAAUCGCAAAAACACUUGAUCCAUACAAUUUCAAAUACACUUAACAAAACAAGAACCAAAAUAAAUGGCUAAUUGAUAUGACGACUGUAGCUAAGUCAAAGAUAUGCAUACCCCUUCUAAUUUACGCACUAAGAGAAGCCAUCCAAACUAGAGCAGUAUGUUGUAAAUCAAUAUAACUUUUAAAGUCUCGUGCUUGUAAUGCACUUGAAUUGGCAAUUUUUAAUCAUAAAAGGCAUUCAACAAGCGAUUUUUUAUGCUGCCAGUUAAAGUUUUAUAUCUCAAGUAAAUAACUCACUCUCUAAAAUGACACUUGGUGAUUUUUUAGCAACCAAUCUUCAAAUAGGUGCAUUUUCUCCAAUCUAGACAAUACCUGAUAUGUUCCCACAAGGGUAUCAAUAGAAAUGAUAGAGUAUCUAUCAUGCAAAUCUUGACCAGUUGAUGGAAGAAGAGGGACCACUUUUUCAUCCAACCAUUUCUUCAAUGCUUUUCCAUUUGCAACCUAAUAAAGGCCAAAAACUUCACUGCUCGCAAUUUACAUCGCAAGGAUAUGAAUAAAGACAGUAAAAAUGGCAUACAACUUGUCAAUUUUCCAAAUUUCAAGUCUACAAGUUGCAUGGAAUAAAAUCUCAGUUAAUCACAUAAAAAUUCAUAUUCUAUUUUAUAGAACUUUUAGUAGAUGAUAAGAUCAUUUGAUUCUUCCUAUUCCACUCAGUUCCACUCUAGAAAAUAUAAACAUCUUUAUAAUAUUAAACAUGAAUAAAAAAAGGUUCAAACUAUGUAUCAAUGUCAAAGUGAUUGUCUUAGAUCUUGCUUAUCCCCUUUAUCCCACUAAGCCCCUUCACAUCCUAAUACUAUCUAGAAGUCAAUAAUUUUGUUAGAUACAUCUCACACUAGGCUUAACAAUGUUAGGAAUCAAAAGUGUCCAAACAAGAAAAGGAAGAAAAUUUAAAAAAAUGAAAUAGUCUAUUCCAAUUGUGUUCAGAUAUUUUAAAGAUCUUUAGUUUAAAAAUUAUUUUUACAAGAAAGGAAAGUAUAUGGUGUUUGACCAAAACUAAAAGAAUUGCACAAGCAAAGUUCCAAACACCUAAAUGUAAAGUGAUAAUUGGAAUUUCAAAGAAAAAAAUAUAAGCACCAAUGUAUUAGAAGAAGUAGGGAACAUAGGUACUAGUUCACCACAUAUUUUUUCAUGGCAACUAGGACAUGUUUAGAAGGAAACAAUAUUAGUCCAUGUUUAGAUAGUUCUCAAACCUUUUGCCUUAGAAUUAGUCUGACAACAACUGUAACACCUCGUAAUGCAUCAAAGACAAUAAUAUCAUCUAGAGAAUCUAGUAAGUGCCUUGCAAAAUUUUUUCUUGCCUGAAAUUAUGUCAGAAUGCUUGCUAUUAGUUUGCAAGUUGAAUAAUCACAGACAACCACAAAAGAUACGGCACGAAGAUCUAACACGAAAACAAGAAGAGAAACAUUAUCUUCUCUGCUAAUUUUCUGUAUGUUGGGAGGAGAGCCUUCUCUCCAAAGAUUUGCAUAGGUAAAAUCAAAUAGAUAAGGAAUGCACUUCUCCUUUUUAGAGAAAAUUUACCUCCACGAGAACUUGCUUUCGACCUCUUGUUUUCAAGGUAUGGUCGUGAGUUAGAUACGAUGGAGGAAUAUUAGACUCAAGCUGCCCAAAACUGAUAUUUGAUAUAAUGAUUAUAAUUGAAUGACUGAGAUUCACAUGAUGACCAUCUUUAUCACUUAAUCUUUUGUUAACGAUGUUUGGAAGAAGAGCAUUAACAACAGAUUAAUGGGUCCUUUCAAUUUGUUGAACAAAAUAAGACUAUGCAACUUUUUUCAUAACCUCAGCAAGCCAUAGAAAUCUGCAUCUAGAAUCUUGUCCUUUGAUAUAGUAUAUUAUCAUAGUCAAGAAUAAAUUAGUGGUCAUGACAAAGAGGGACAGAGUAAUACUCUAGACAGUAAUGAAUAUAUCUAGAUAUCUGUCCAUUAGACUGCAUCUUCACAUACUCCGACAUGUCAACUUGAAUCAGCAUCUAGCGUCAUCGAAGAUUACCUUAACAAUGCAUUUGUCUACUUCUGUCUUGCCAAUACUAGAAAGGCCAGCAAGAGCAACGAGACCCAAAGGUGGUUAUACAAGGAUAUAGGGUCAAGAGAAAGUCUCCUGGGACUAAAAAAUGAUCUCACAAUAGAAUCAAGGAUAGAGCCCUAAUUGCCAAUCCUCCUAAACAAUUUUUCUUUCAAAUGCGAGAUUUGUACCUAGCCAAAAGUAGGUUGCACAGGGAUAGAGAUACAAUAGAUUGACUCACUACUUACAGGUGACAUAACAAGACAAAAAUGUAAAUGAUAUUGUAGUGUCACACAAAGAACGCGAAUCAUGCAAUGCCAUGAAGUUGAUAAAAAAUAACUUCAUGGACAAAUGUGUCUUAACUAGUCAAAGUAGAAAGAGGAAAGAUAGCUAGGCAAGGAGAAAAAAGGUACCUCUAUAACAUGAUGCGGACGUACAGCCAUAUAUUUAUUAGUCAAGUAAUUACGAAGAGUUUACUCUAUCCUGAUAGCAAGGCAUCCAACUCCUGGAUUGCCUGGUAGCGUAUAGAAAAAUCUUUUUCCAUUAGAUUCAUUAAAGAGAAACAGGCAGGUAAAUAAAAAAAACUUCUGAACAAUUUCAUGGCCAGAGAUCCCAAUUGAGAUUGAUUUUUCUCAAGUUCAAGCAAAGCAAGCCUCCACCUGUUGAUAAACUUUAUCAAUAUGUUUUAAUAUUUUCACGUGAUUCAAGUUGACUUGGGCAAGCCACGGGUCAUGGGGUUUUUCUUGUGCAAUUCAGAAUACUCAAACAAACAACACGAGAUAAUAUAUUUCAUUUCAUCCAACUUCUUCUCAUCAGUGCAGUAAUUUAUUUCAUCCUAUUGGACUUUUAUAACCUUUGCAAAUCCAGUACUCAUAUAAGAGAGUGUCUCUAUAGACUUUAUCAUAGAGUUGCCAAGAUCAAAAGGGUGCACAAGCAUACUUGCGGUCGUGGAUCAAUUGUGCAAGUAUGUAGUAUUCAUUUUCCUCCAAAAGAGUGCAUAGUAGAAAUGAUGAUGAAACUAUUCAUGGGACACAUCAUCAAAUAUUGAAGUUUGCUAGCGUCUAUAGUGAGUAACCGAAACUCACGUGUUGUGGGUAGAUUCUGGACGGAACUGUUCUAUUUGAUAGGGUUGGAACUCAACAUGUCAACAAAUGAUGCAUAAAUAGAUUGGCAGAUAGAAUGAGUCAAUAAUAUGCUAAAAGUGUAGCUCCGACACUAUGUAGUUGUGAAUUGAGCCGACUGGACAAAAUGAUAGAUAUUGCCCAAUUUUGCAUCAAUCUGCAAUAAAAUGAGAGUAUUGGUAAAAGUUCGUUUGAAACCUAUUAGAUUUUCAUCCGAUUGAUAGUAAGUACAAGGAUCCAAAACUUCCCGCAUUUAGAUUUACCAAGGAUUGGUAAGAACGAGUGACAAUGGCCAAGUUGUACUUGGAGAAAAUCAAUAGCGGAUGAAAAAGUAGGUUGAUUUUGAACGUACAUUUCGCGAGUUCAAGAAGGAAGACCAAGUGUUGAUAAAGCUUUUCAAACACAGAUGCAUUUUUGGGGUGCAUGUGGGUCUCAUGUGGCUAUAUAAAGGAUUGCUUACCAUACUAAAGAAAAUUAGAAAUAUCAUCUACAAAGUGGAGUUGUUUAAUGCUCUAUUCCAACUUCACCCUAUCUUUUAUGUUAGUAUACUCAAAUCAUUCUACAAGGACCUGCAUAACCCAUCAAGGAAUGCGUCAAUAAGGCACACGUAGAUUGUUAGGGGAGAGCACGAUAAGGUCACUAAUGAGAUUCUAUUUGAUUGUAUUAUUCAUCACAAGAACUAUGCACUAUUGAUAGAGUAUUUGAUGCGAUGACGUGAUCUACUGGAGAUCAAGAUAAGUUGGGAGUCGGCUGAAAAUUUAUGGUAGUUUGUGGAGAUUGUAUAAGCAUGUAAAGACCCUAGAUGUCUUAUUUAAGUGAGGGAGGAUAACAUGUCCGCACAUAUUCGUCCUGCAACCGGCCAGACAUGUAUUACUACUUAUAAGAGAAUUAGUAAAAAAUUACGAUCGGUAAUAAAGACGUAGUCUUCUACAGUGAACAAAUAGAAGGUCAUGAAGACUUUUUAAAAUUUUUGGUAGGUUGUAACAAGUUUUAGAAACUUUUGAAGUGUUCUAAGCUAUUUAAGAAUCUUGAAAAAUAGUCUAGAAUUUAUAUAUAAGAGACUUGUUUUUCUGUAAAAAUGUUCUAAAGACUAAGUGUAAAGAGUUAGGGGGUGCUUGUUUCACAGAUUGGAAUCAAAAAUAGAAAUGGAAUCAUGAACUCUGGUUUUGAAAUUAAACUUUUCAUUCCAAUAUCUUAGUUUGGUUCACACACUGGAAUUAGUAUCAUUCCAAUUCCUGAUGCUUGGUUUGAUGAGUGUUUCAGAAAUAAAUGCAAUUAAAUUUCAAAUUUACUUUUGACAUAAAAAUUAUUAUAAAAUAAAAAAUACACAUACAACAAAUUAACAUCUCCAUAAUUGUAACUACAAUAGUUAGUUGAUUUUUGAUAAAAGUUAAGAAAAUCAUAAACCAUAAGAAAAAUUAACACCAAAAAAUAUAUAUAGUGACUGUAUUAACAAGUUGUUUGUGGUUCCUAUAUUAGACAAUGAUAUGAAAUAGAAGAUCUCUCCUUACAUAUAUGAACAAAGAAGGAGACUUAAAUAAAAAAAUCUAACCAUGCAAAAUACAAACCAAUGGUCUAAACCAGUCAAGAGUGCCACUCAAUAUCCACAAUCUCCAAAAGACUAAUAAUAUAACCAUCUAACAACCACCAUAACAAAAAGAAAUUGCCACCAAAUCAUCACUUUUCAACUAGCAAUAAUUUUUACUUUAGUGAGUAGAUGGAGGAUAAAUGAGGUUAAUUACAUAUUGUCGUCUCAUUUCUGUAGGAAGAUUGUAGAACACAUGAAGCUUGGAAAUCAGCUCCGAAAGUAUGUUGGCUGUAUUCAUUACAUCUUUAUUUGAUAAAACAAGUUUCAAUAACUUAGCAACAACUUGAUCUCUUCUAUUGGAGACCAGUUGUUCAUGUUUACCCUCAUUUGACAUGGCUGUUGCCAUAGUUGUGAAAUUAAUUUGAAUUUUCCUCACAAAAUCUCCAAAUUUAUUGGUGAUAAGUUGCAAUGAUGCAUCAAGAUCACCCUUAGCUUGUUGUUAAUGAAGAUUUCAUUUUUUUGACAUAUUUGCAAAGGAAGGUGAUUGUUUCUUUGCGCAUUAAAGUAAAGAGAGUUAGUCUAACAUAUGCUUCAAUAAUGACAAUUAUUGAAUAAUGAAUAUUAUUAAAAAACAUUAAUGCCUUUGAAUAUUCAAAGACGUAAUGCUUCAAAGAGAACUAAUUGCUCUAAAAAGAUUCAAAAGGUGGUGGCUUCAGAAAUAAAUAACAAUGAUCAAAUAGUCUACAUAAAUAGUGUAAGCAUUUAAGGUUCAAGAACAAGACCACAACCAUUUUUCAUAUUCUGUGCAAGCAUUCUUUGUCUUACUGACCACAUAUGCAUUUGAUUUUGAGGUCUUCUUAAAAAGCAGAAAGUCAGCAAAGCAAUCUUAAUUAUUAUGUUAAAAAUUACUAUAAUGUAGCAAGGUAUUUAGUAGGAGGUGAUGGUUUUGCAACGUGUGUGGAUCAGCAAAUUCUUUAUCAAUUUCUGAUCAAUCCAAGCAAAUUCACACUGGUUGAUCAAGGGGUAAAAGGAUCGAGUAAUUCACAAGUUUUAACGUCAUAUGAAAGCAUCUAUUAAUUAACGUAUCUUAAAACAACUUAAGACUAAUAUUAAUGAGUCAGACAUAGAAUUGGACAUCAAACUUGCCAGAAACAAGGGGAAGACCAUGAAGUAGAAAAGUUUGUGAGAAACUUAUAGAGUAAGAGGACUAAAAAAUUGGAAAAAGAAGCAUUCCAAUAACCCUAUAGAAAAAAAAGGAACCAAUACUAUGAUUUUCCUGUAUAUAUCAUUCUUUGUCCCCUCCAAAAACAUUGAAAGAUGUAAACAAGUUCAUUUCUGAGCAGCUGAGAAAUUAGUAAAAACUUAUAUAUUAUUAUUAUUGAUUUUAAUUAUAGGAGACAUUUGAGAGAAUACAUACCUCAGAAUCCUUGGAUUUGGGUUUAGGGUUUUCUUUUUCAGUUUUUCUUGGAGAUCUUGUUGAACAAUUUGUCUACUCAAGAUAUUUGUCUACUGUUUACCCAUUUAGAUUUACUUUAAAUCUUUUUUUAAAGAGAUUUUGGAUAAAAGAUGAAGAAUAUAUGGAUGAUAAAAAAACUGAUGAAAAAAAACAAGAGAGUGAGAGGGUGUGUGAUAGAAAGAGAGAGAGAGCAGAGGCAUUAAUUGUAUGUGAUGGGUAGGUCUGUCCAUAAAUGUUAUGAAGGAAUAGUUUGAGGAUUUUUCCAAAACCCUCAAUUUGUUUUGGAAUGAGAGAAGUCCGUUUUUUAGAAAUGAUUCCAAAAAAUGCAUUUCAAUAGGUUUAGCCCAAGCAACAAAUAAGAGAUUUAUUCCUUCCGCGAUUCCCAAACCCUUUAACCAAGUGGCCCUUUAGUGUAUAAAAGUUUCUAAAAUAAGUUAAUAUUUCUUGACUUGUCUAUAAAUAGGCCAAGCCUUUCUCAUUUGUAAAUUAUUAUAUAAGUCCUUGAGUGCAAUAUAAAACUUUUCUUUAACCUCUAAAUGUUUAUUCAUCUUUUGCUUCUACAUAAUUGCGCACUUGAGAGUUAGGCUAAAUUAACAAUCAUUUAAUUUGUAGAUUAAAUCUAGAAACUUGCUAUGCCGUACGAGCAUUAUGCUAAUAGAGAUUUUAGCCAAUCUGUAACACAUGGGAGGCCUUGAUCAUAAUCAUAUACUGUAUAGUUAUGAUUAGCGAUCGAAUCCCCACAACUUAAGCACUUUCUUAGAUUCUGCAUGAUCGACCAACAAAGGCUGCUACUAUGAAAAUCAUGGCCGUACUCGACGAGUGUUAUGACGUGAUUCUCAAGUUUAAAAGCAACCAUACAUAUGCCAUAAACCAUUGGGUUUACUAUUAUGGGUUGAAAUUGAGCAUUCUCUUGGCCAACUUGCAUAAUUUCCUCAUUUCAGUAGCUAUUAUUUCCAAGUGCUCCUCCGCAUCAACUUCUCCCUCAAUAGUAGUAGUAAGCAAGUCCUCAAUAUCAUCAAAAUGCUCAUGGUCCUCGCUGUUGUCAUCAUUACUGCUACUAUUGAUACCAAUCUCUUUAUAUUCAUUCUCAUUGUGCUUCUUAUCAGUGCAAAACAUUGUGAUGAAUGAGAGUUUGGAAUCACUGCUAACAACUACUCAGCGGGACUGAUGACAAAGGGGGAAUUUAGGAAUCACUUCUCAAUGUGUUUCCUACAGUAGUGACAACGCAUGCCCAAGAUAGGAAGUGAACUAUCGCAAUAAUAUUUGUGCAAGUGAUGUAAAUAGGGGAGCGACAAAACCACAAAAUCACCAUAUUCGUACUCAAUAUGAUAUAUUGCACACAUUCCCUGAUUUUCAACCAUUUCUAAUGAAAAAUUAUAAAGAUUUGUUUUUGCCUUCAAUGACAUGUCAUCAUGGCUACCAAAUAAUGUUCUAAAAGCAGUAAAGGUGACUUCUUCAAACUCGUCGUCAUAGAUGGAUGGUAAGUUCAUGAGAUUCUCCAUGGGGAAGGGUGAAUAAGAGAAAAAAAAUUCAAACUUUAGCUUCAAUAAAAAAUCCAACUUUACCUAAAAAAUUACAAUUUUGAGGUACGUAAAAGUAACUUGAUAGACUAUAGUUAGAUAUUUCUAGUUGGAAGAGGAGAUUGGAUAAUGGUGUGUUUGAUCUGUACACUAGAGUUGAAGAAGAGACCAUAUGGAGCACUUGUUCAGACCCCAACUACACGAAAUCGAAAUGGAAAGCUUGCUCUAUUUGAAAAUUUGGCUGAGUACUGCUUAUAAAUAUUACUAGUAUAGUAUUGCUGCUCUUGAGUUGCACAUUAGCCUCAAAUUUUUAUAAUUUUUUAAUUUAGUGCUUAAAGUCUUUGUAGUUGACUAUUGUUGUGAUGAUGGGUUUAAAAUUAUAUACAUAACAUAUUCUCUAAUGAGUCUCAUAGAUGAAAGUUUAAACUAUGCUUAUGAUCCUAUUUAGCAAAUGAAUUUUUUAGGUAUUUAUUUAAAACUUUAUUGUAUCUUCUGUGAAGUUGUAGAUGAAAUUUUUGAAAUGUGUAAUUUUUGGAUAUUUUGAAAAGUACAGUUUAAAAACUUUGAAAUUUUUUUUUGAGAUUACUAUAGACAAAAUUGUUAAAAAACUUGUAACAGAUAAAUUUGACCAAAAACUUGUUUGCCAAACAGGCCUUAUGUAAAAAGGACAAGUAAUAAGCUAGAAAAAAACUCAUUUAUAAAAAAAGAAAAAUGAAGGUGCAAAUGUUUCUUAUAGAGCAAUUAAAAUAAUAUUACCUAAUCUUUUGGUCUUACAAGCUUAUGUGCUUGCAAUCCCACCAAAACAAGGAUAUAAUACGUAAAUAAGAAAAUUUCAAAUUAACGUUACGUGAUGAAAUAAUAGUUAAUCAAUUUACAAUUAUAGGGUUAAUUAAUCAUUUAAUACCCAAAAAUAGACCAUUGGUGGGUUGCAAAACCAAAACAUAGACCGUCAAGAGGUCGCACAUGUACUUAUUUUCAAUAUUAGGGGUCGAAGACUUUGAAACUUGUUGAAUUGGUGUUUAAGAGGUCUAAUUUAUUAUAUUUACCCUUGAAAUAUACUGUUGUGUGCAUGUUAAAUUAAUCUUUUAAAAAUUCUACACUCGACAAAAUGGACGAUUUGAUUUGCGGUGUACUACUGGUAGAUUUUUUUUAAAAGUGAUCAAAAAUUCCAACUUAGUCCCACUUAAAGUGAGAAUAUUAUUCGAGAACGCAUUAGCAAGUUUGUUUACAAACAGCAAAAUGAACCAUGAAGCAUUAGUUUGUUUAUAGCAAAAUAAUAAGAUAUAAUAGUUAGUUUGGAGAGAGAGAGAGAUAGAGAGAGAGAGAGAGAUUAGGUUAUUAUGAGCCUAUAUGCUUUUCUCGCAUAAAUGAUUUCGUAUUUUUUUUCAAAAACAAAAGGUAUUUCAUAUAAUGAAAAUAAAGUAAUAUAAUUUUUUUAUGUCAAUGAAAGAAAAUGCGGCGCUGAUGAGAAGAGGUUCGAUGAGAUUGAAUAUAUUGCCUCACAUUGUUUGUUUGAGCAUUCUGAAUUGUUUAGGGAGGACCCCAGUGACCCAUGGCUUGCUCGAGUCAGCUUGGAACACGCCAAAACAUCAACAAGUAGAAACUUGCUUUGCUUGAAGCUGAGAAGAAACAAUCUCAAUCGGGAUCUCUAGCCAUGAAAUUAUUCCAAAAGUGUUUAUUGCUUUACCUGCCUGUUCCUCUUCGGUGAACCUAAACGAAGAAGAUUUCUGUGUGCCCUACCAGGCAAUCCAUGAGUUGGAUGUCUUUGCUACUAGGAUAGAGUAAGUUCUUCCUACUAACUUGAUUGAUGAAUAUAUGAUUGCAUGUCUGGAUCAUAUCGUAGAGGUACCUUUUUCUUCUCCUCUAGCUACCUUUCCUCUUUUUGUUUUGAUUCGUUAAGACAUAUUUAUCCAUGAAGUUGUCUUUCAUGGGCAUUGCAUGAUUUGCAUUCUUUGUGCGGUACUAAAACAUUAUUUAUGUGUCUAUCUUGUUAUGACAUCUGUAGGUGGUGAGUCAAUCUACUGGUAUCCCUAUACCCGUGCUGCCUGCUUUUGAUUCGGUGCAGAUCUCACACUUGGAAGUAAAAUUGCUUGGGAGGAUCGGUGGUCAGGACCCUACCCUUGAUGCUAUUGUGAGAUCAUUUUUUAGUCGCGAGAGGCUCCCUCUUGACCGUACAUGCUUGCGUAACUACCCUUAAGUCUCGUUGCUCUUUUUGGCCCUUUUUGGUGUUGGUAAGAUAGAAGUAACCAAAAUGCAUUAUCGAGGUAUUUUUUAGUGAUGUUAGCAGGUUGAUUUAAGUUGACAUAUCAGAGUAUGCGGAGGUGCAGUCUAUUGGAAAGAGCUCUAGAUAUAUCCGUUGUUGCCUGGAGUAUUGCUAUGUCUCGCUUCGCCAUGACCAUUAACUUUUUUUAACUCUAAUAAUAUACUAGGUCAAAGGAUGAGAUUCUAGAUGUAGGCUUUCUAUGGCUUGCUGAGGCCAUAAGGGAGAAGCCACAUAGUCUUAUUCUGCUCGACAAAAUUGAAAGUGCCUAUCAAUCUGUUGUUGAUGCACUUCUUCUAAAUAUCAUUAAUGGAAGAUUAAGCGAUAAAGAUGGUCAUCAUGUGAAUCUUAGUCACUCAACCAUAAUAAUAACACCAAAUAUCGAUUCUGAGCAGCUUGGGUCUAAUGUUCCUCCAUCAUAUCCAACUCACGACCAUACAUUAAAAGCAAGAGGUCAAGAGCAGGUUCUCUAGGAGGUAUAUUUCUUCUAAAAAGGAGAAGUGUAUUCCUUAUCUGUUUGAUUUUACCUGUGCAAAUCUUUGGAAAGAAGGUUUCGCUCCCAACAUACCACAGAAAAUUAGCAGGGAAAAUAAUUUUCUCUUCUUAUUCUCGUGUUUGAUCUACAUGAUGUAUCUCCUGUGGUUGUCUGUGAUUAUUUGAUUUGUGAACUAAUGGCAGACAUUUUGACAUUAUUUCAGGCAAAAAUUUUUUUUGCAAGGCACUUGCUAGAUUCUCUAGAUGAUGUUAUUGUCUUUGAUGCAUUAUGAGGUGUUACAGAUGUUUCUAGAUUAAUUCUGAGGCAAAAGGCUCGAGAACUCUCCGAACAUGGACUAAUAUUGUUUUCUUCUAAACUUGUUCUGAUUGCUAUAGGAAAAUAUGUAGUGAGUCAGUGCUUAUGUUCCCCUGCUUCUUCUAAUAUAUUGGUGUUUAUGUUUUUUUUUCUUUUUCCUAUAAAAUUCUAGUUAUGCACUUUACAUUUGGGUGUUUGGAACUUUGCUUGUGCAGUUCUUUUAGUUUUGAUCAAACAAUAUUCUCUUUUCCUAUGCUGUAAAAAUAACUUUUAAGUUGAAAAUCUUUAAAAUAUCUGAACAAAGUUGGAAUAGAAGAUUUCAUUUUUGUUUAAUUUGAUUCCUCUUCUUGUUUGAACACUUUUGAUUCCUGAUAUUGUUAGACCUAGUGCGAGAUGCAUCUAAUAGUAUUAUUGACUUCUAGACAGUAUUAGGGUGUGAAUGGGACUUGGUGGAAUGGAGGGGAUAAGCAGGGUUUGAAUGAAUCACUUUGAUAUUGAUAGGAAGUUUGAACGCUCUUUAUUCAAGUUUAAUAUUAUUAAAGAUGUUUUUUUUCUUCCCUAUCUUCUUCUGACCCUUAAAUAGCUACCCUUGAUCGUACCUUUUGACACCUUUUCUUUCUCCUUAUCUCUCUUCUACUUUCGAAAAUGGCCAGAAAAAAAUAAAAAAAAAAAAAGAAAUCAAAAAAGAAGAGAAGAUAUGUGGAAUCUGCCAACUGUCAAUAGAAAUUUUGUGGUAUUUGCAAUAUCUAAAGUGAACCAACCGCCUGACUAUCUUAGGUUCUCUGAACGGGAAGAAGCAGAACAAAAUGAAAGAUGGGAAAUGCAGGAUUUCUGUAGGUUGUGGAAAAAAACUUGAUGAUGGUGAGAAAUAAAUACUUGCGGAGUUAACGAUCAUUAUGGUCUCAAAGUUCCCCAGUUUCUGGAUCAACAUACAUCCAGGCUGCAUCUGGCACACUGCAAAUAAGUGGACAAUCUCAGAAAUUAGACGCAUAAAAAUAGUGAUUUUGGAAUUGGCGAAUCAACUAUCAACUUUAGUCAGGUGGACUUUACUCCUCAAUGCUUGUCGAGGCAUUCCUUGGGACUUUGUCCUGUAAUUAGAAUAGUAACAAUUGAUUAUUCAAAAAAUAGUCGCAAAAUAAAAAAUAAAUCUAGGGUUUUAAUCAACCAAUUUUUUUGGUAGGGCAGUUGUUAAUGUGAUUCAUUAUCAUAGUGAGCGUGUCAACAUAAAAAAAUAUUAUUAAAGAUGUUGACAUUUUCUAGAAUGGAGUUGAGUGGAAUAGGAAGAAGCAAAUGGUUUUAUAUUCUACUAAAGUUCUAUAAAAUGGAAUAUGAAUUUUUUAUAUGAUUAGUUGGAGUUUUGUUCCUUUCAACUAGUAGACCAGAAUUUGGAAAACCCAUAUAUUGUAUGCCAUUUUUUCUGCCUUUAUCCAUAUCCUUGCGAUGCAAAUUGCGACCAUUGAAGUUUUUGGCUUUUAUUAGGUUGCAGAUAGAAAAGCAUUCAAGAAAAGGUUGGAUGAAAAAGUGGUUCCUCUUAUUCCUUCCACUGACUAAGAUUUUGGUAAUAAAUACUCCAUCAUUUCUAUUGAUACCUUUGUAGCAACAUAUGAGUUAUCUUCUAAAUCGGAGAAAAUGCACUUAUUUGAAGGUUGGUUGCUAAAAGAUCACAAAGUGUCAUCUAAGAGAUUGAGAGUUAUUUGCUUGAGGUAUAAAACUUUAGUUGACAGGAUUUUCCAACUAAGAAGUAUACUCUCUUGCUUGUUGAAUGCCUUUCAUGAUUACAAUUUGCCAAUUCAAGUGCAUUACAAGCACGAGGCCUUAAAAGUUCUAUUGAUUUACAAUACACUGCUCCAGUCUAGAUGGCUUCUCUCAGUGUGUAAAUUAGUACAGGUAUGCAUUUCUAUGGUUAGUUAUUAAUCGUCAUAUUAGUUAGCCUUGUUAAUAUAAGAUCUGAGUCUCUUAUGCAUUAUUUUAAGGGAAUAUCAAGCUAAACUAAACAGAAGGGUAUAUGUUCAGAAUCUUGGAGCAAUAUAGCUAGAGAGAGGCCUCAAUCAAGUAGCUGAUGCUGUUAUGAGAUCCAUGCAUUUGUCAUCAGACCUUCAUUCUAAGCCUGCUCGAGCUCUUCUCUUAAUGGGUUUGACUGAUACUGGCAAAGCCGAACUUGUAGACAUGCUCAAGAAUGACCUAAUACCUGAUAAUGGGGAAUUUUUGCUUAUUCAAGUGAAAUUUUCAGAUUACAUUAACAACAUACUGCAGCUAUUUAUGUUUUCUUCAAGAUACUAUUAUUGUUGGCUAUACCUUUUCUAUUUGUUCUAAUUUGUUUAAGAUGUAUGUGUUGGGGUUUUAUUCAAUCUUUGACCUUUAACAUGCAGUUCCAGUAUUUCUGAAGACAACAACCACAAGAUCCUGGAGGCUAUUGAAAUUUCCCAUAUCGCAUUAUUCUCUGACUUAAUAGAGAAUACCAAUGCAUUUUGCUUUAGCACUUUGCUUAAGAUCUUGUACACUGGUAUGUGGAGCGUUGGCCUAUACAUGAUGAUUGACUUUAGGCAUUCCAUCAUCCUCAUUACAAUGCAGCAGUUAGGGAACAAAGAGAAAAUAACUAAGCUAUUUAGUUUUCUUCCACUGUGAAAAAUUUAGAUGGCACAAAAAAGAUACGUCAGGGAAAUCCAGUUAAUUGAUUGUAAAGUUUUCUCAGUUGAUGUUUACUAGUUUUCUACCCAUCUUGUGGCUUGUCUACAACUUGAUUGAUUUCAGUUGUCAAUGAUGACUUGAUUAUCUUAAAUUGCAUGUGGCUACUAGAUUUUAGCCACAAUUGAUGCUAUACUAUAUCCUUCUCAUUUGUUGACAGGAAGCAAGACAUUUUAGGAUGGAAUUACUGAACAGACUGGAUAAUAUUUUCUAUCUUCAAUCCUACAUCACUGGAUCAGAGGAAAAUCUAUGAAUUAAACUUAAAAUGCAAUUCUUUUGGUCAAAGGUGUGCCAGCUGAUUUAUGAUACUUGCUCUUCCAUCUAUUUAAGGAUUAUGCAAGUGUUGAACCAAGUUUUAAUUCUUCAUUUGAAGUUAAGUUCUAUGGUUAACAGUAUGUGAAUGAUAGACUGCAAUUUAUCUAUUUAUUUUAUUAUCAUUUUCCCCUAUUACCUGACUUGAUGUGGAUUAAUUGUUGGAUUCUACUCAUUUUUCUUAAUUUACGUAUAUUUCAGGGAGUAGAACGAAAAUAUGAUAAGAGGUGCCAAAUUGACAGGAAAAGAAUUCAGAUCAUAAAGCUUGUCGCAGGGCACUUUUGGAAAGAAAGAGGUCACGCCCAUUUUGGUAAUUUUCGCAAGGGAAUGACGGACGGAGGGCUUCACUUCGUGUGGAGGUUCCGCCGCAAUUAAAAAGAAAAAAUGCAGAGGAAAAGGAUGGCUGAUUUUUGGAGAGUUUUCCGUCUGUAGCUUAGCUUGAGAUUGUUGACUUUUCCUUGAGCUUGGUUGUUUUUACUUUUCUUACGCAUGGCAGAUGGUUGAAAAACUUAUUCCUCCAUCUUUGACUUUUCUUCUUUAGCUUGAGGUAGUAGAUUGCUACAUACGAAUGUCAGCACUUAGCCACUUGUGGCUUUUGAUCUUUCUUCUUUAGAAAUUUAGGGUAGUCUUUCCUUCAUUGCUGUGCACCAAACGGAGUGAAAACUAUGAACCUUCUGUAGCUUUUCUAUUUAUUCAGUAGUCGGACGAAUUGGAUUUUGCCAAGUUUAAACGAACAUGGCCGCUAGUUUCUUUUCAAUUUCCCGUGGAUUUAGUUCAUCAAUUAUGAGCUAAUUUUCCAAUCCUAGUCAAGGAGCAACGAAGGCUCUGGCUCGUCUAAAAAUUGUGAGAUCGAUUUAAUUUAAUCUUUCGCCUAAAAGUUGGGUGCAGUUGUGCAUUUAAUUGGCCAUCUGGAACCACUGCAGUCGUUUGUUAACGUGGGAGGUCUAUUUUGCUUGCAUUGCUGGAGGAAUUGUUGAGGUUUUGUAGGGGGUUUUUGCUUCAGUUACUUCUGAUAUUGCAUAUUGGGCUGCAAUCUUGUGCAGUUUGACUUACUUUGCCAGUUUGGAAUUGUAUACUCUAUUGUGACUGCUGCAUUGGAGGCCAUAGGGGGCAUUUGCUCUGCUCUUUUAUAGCUAUUUCAUUAAUUGGCCUGCUUGUUGAAAAUUUUGGAUGCACCACGUUUGCUGGUCAAUUUAGUGACUUGGAUAAUCCCUAUGCUUAUUGAAUAAAUUCUGCCAGUUGCUAGUUGUGGUUAGUAGUUGGGGAUCCUGUGGUUAUUGAGAGCCACCGUUGCUUUGCUGGGGAACUGGUUUAAAUUGUGGGUGACUCUAUUGUCCAUUUGCUGGUUGAUUAAAUCAGUAAUUGCUGAUUACACUUAGCAUUCGAAAUCCUGUAUCUUGUUGUUCCAGCUGAUUGUUGGGGGACAUGGUGAGACCAAAGUCAUCCUCUAGGUCUAGGGCCUCUCGUUCUCAACCCCCUCCACAAGCCUCUAUUCCAGUCAACUCACCUACUAACCUACCCUCUUCUUCUAGUGUUCGAACCCGUUUGGGUAGGGGUAGGGGUGCGCAGGUAGAUACCCCAACUCACUUUGGGGGGCACCUAACCUUCACUAGACCCGCCGAUCAGGAGCGAUAUGCUAAGGUCUGCGAGCGGUGGAUUACACCAAGCAAGACUUGGGAAAAAUUAACUGUCAUGGGUCUAGGCAUACGAGAGGAGGUCGAGCAGAUGUUUACAGCCAUCGGGUGGCGCUCAUAUCUCGGUAUCUUAUGCCCCGCCUUUGUCGAGCUGAUUCGGGAGUUUUACUCCACCUUUGAGUUCGAGUUACCUACGAGAUACACCGUUGACACACCACAGGUCAUUCAUUUCCGGCUCAUGGGUCAAGAGUUCAAUUUCUCCAUUACCCAAUUCAAUCGGGCAUUUGGGUUUAUCACUAGAGAGUAUGCUGGGACUAGGGAGUAUGCAGAGAGUGCUUGUGACUACGUAGAGCCGUUCCUCUCCACUACCAUGAUGUGUGGGAAGACAUGUCCGUCGAUCAGCAGCGCUACGAUCCUUCCCGGUCUAGGAGCUCAUUUCUUAAGAACCUUAGUGCCCGCUAUGUUCAGCGUUUCUUAGCCUACAGCUACUCGGAGCGCAAGGACAGCUCUGGCAUACUCUCUCGCCCUGAGUUCUUCUUCCUCUGGAGUAUGAAGAACAAUAUCAAGGUUAACUUGGGGUGUUGGUUGGCCGCAUAGUUCAAGACCGUCUUGGCAAAAAAGAACAAACCCCUUAUCCUUGGGUCCUAUAUCACUCACUUGGCAAUACAGUUGGGAGUUCUUAACCUGGAGGACCACGACUUACAUUUGGCGUGCUAGAUGGAGCUCUUGGACGUAGAUUGCUUGGAGAAGAUGGGAGUCGUCGAGCACCUGCCUGAUGGUUCCUACCAGUUCACCCCUCCUGGACCACCUAGAGCUCCGGGUGCGCAUCAUUCGUCCCGGGCAGGGCCCUCCUCCUUUCCUGGAUCAGCCGAGGACACAGUUGGGCCAUCUUCUUCUGCGCCACCUCCACCGCAUGGGACUACUGAAUGGCAGCAACUCCGGGGCCAAGUUCAGGCUUUGGAGGCUCGGAUGGUCAACGUUGACGCCAAUGUUGCCGGCAUGGCACAGAAUUUGGCGCAGUUUCUGAUGCAUACAGGCUUUGCACCUCCGUUUCCACCUCGCCCUCCGCUAUGACCCGAUUUCAAGGAAGUUUGGCUGAUUCCCCUCUCACUUUUGCUUCACUUUUGGUUUUUAUUUGUCACAUUGGGGACAAUGUGUCCUAUAGGUGUGGGGGGGGGGAUCUAAGGGGAUGCUAGUGUUUUCCGUUUUAGUAAAAAAAAAUGUAAGUUUCUAGUUUUUAGUAGUUUUUCUUAGUUUUAUUUCUAGUUGCUCGUUUUCGUUCUUUCUUCUUGGUGCUUACCUUUCAUGUGAAUGCUAAAAUUGAGAUGUGGACUUAUUGACUCCAAGUCUACUUUUGCCAAGUUUUUAAAAUACAAAGGUAUCGGGUUGAUGUGGUUGGAUCCGAGAUAUCUCCUUGGUGAAUAUCGGAUUGAUUGGCUCUUUUGAUUUCUGUGUUAACUUUUCUAGGCGUUGGGAAUGACUGUUGGCAUUUUAAUGUGAACUGGUCCAGUAUUGACUCCAGUUCUCUAUGUUUGGCAAUAAUGAGGCAAGCUGCACCUAUUGUUGGUUCUCAGUGUUGUUAUUAUGUGUUUUUGGAUUCGUUUGGCUGUGAAUAACCUGGACUGUACUCCGCUAUGAACUACUACUGAGUAACCGGGGAUCUGCACCUAAAAGUGUCGAUUCUCGCGUCAAAAGGUGGUACUUUAUAUGAGUACGUGGUCGUAUAGCGGUAGGAGCUGAGUAACCGGGCUCCUUCAUCUAAAAAUGUUGGAGUUCGCGUCAAAAGGCUCCGACGGCUAACGACUAUGUCUUUUUGUGUUAAUUAUUAUUGCUUUGCCAAGUUCCUUCAAAAAAAAAAAAAAAAAAGAGAGAGAGAAUAAAUAAUGGGAAGGCUUGCCGGUUUAUGGACUUAAUAUAGAGACUUGUGUGAAUAUUUGGACCAUUAGCUGAUAAAUGUUGUGCGCCAUUCCCUUUUCUUAGAGUAGUUAACCUGGAAAUUGGAGAAAUUUGCAGUUGAGGGGCUAACUGGGGGGAGGCUUCUUGGAUUUUAAUCACCAAUGCUCGAUAUAUGUUUUUCUCUUGAAUAUCUUGGCAAUAUAGGAGAUUGGGCAAUGGCCAUCAUCGAAUUUUGGUGUUCGUUUACUUUUCUUAUGCUUGAGGACAAGCAUGGUUUAGGUGUGGGGGGAAUUGAUAGACUGCAAUUUAUCUAUUUAUUUUAUUAUCAUUUUCCCCUAUUACCUGACUUGAUGUGGAUUAAUUGUUGGAUUCUACUCAUUUUUCUUAAUUUACGUAUAUUUCAGGGAGUAGAACGAAAAUAUGAUAAGAGGUGCCAAAUUGACAGGAAAAGAAUUCAGAUCAUAAAGCUUGUCCCAGGGCACUUUUGGAAAGAAAGAGGUCACGCCCAUUUUGGUAAUUUUCGCAAGGGAAUGACGGACGGAGGGCUUCGCUUCGUGUGGAGGUUCCGCCGCAAUUAAAAAAAAAAAAUGCAGAGGAAAAGGAUGGCUGAUUUUUGGGAGAGUUUUCCGUCUGUAGCUUAGCUUGAGAUUGUUGACUUUUCCUUGAGCUUGGUUUUUUACUUUUCUUACCAUGGCAGAUGGUUGAAAAACUUAUUCCUCCAUCUUUGACUUUUCUUCUUUAGCUUGAGGUAGUAGAUUGCUACAUACGAAUGUCAGCACUUAGCCACUUGUGGCUUUUGAUCUUUCUUCUUUAGAAAUUCAGGGUAGUCUUUCCUUCAUUGCUGUGCACCAAACGGAGUGAAAACUAUGAACCUUCUGUAGCUUUUCUAUUUAUUCAGUAGUCGGACGAAUUGGAUUUUGCCAAGUUUAAACGGACAUGGCCGCUGGUUUCUUUUCAAUUUCCCGUGGAUUUAGUUCAUCAAUUAUGAGCUAAUUUUCCAAUCCUAGUCAAGGAGCAACGAAGGCUCUGGCUCGCCUAAAAAUUGUGAGAUCGAUUUAAUUUAAUCUUUCCCUUUUAUUUAUUGGUAUUCGUGUAUUCCCUGAUUACUAUGCUUAUGGUUAUUUAAUUAGUUGAUUGUCUUGGAUCCGGAUAAUUAAUUGAUUUGGUAAUCUAUUAUCAAUUGGGGUAUUAAAUCCGUAAUUGUUUAAUUACCUCAAAAUAGUGACAACUGGCACGAUUAGAUUCGUGUCAGGGGGACACGCGGGCUAAUCUAAAAUAACCCUGAUAGUGUGUUAUUUGGUUAGAAUAGGGCUCCUCUAAUACGUAAGGCAAUUGGGGAAUUAAAUUUUACGGGCGUACCUAGGAUUAUUUCUCAAUUAGAGCAGUGAUUAACGGGCGUACCUUGAUCAUCGACACAGUAAGGAGGGGUUGACUGCCAUCGCUUGUUUGGCAGUUAUAACCUAUUUAUUAGUGAAUAAUUGGAAUUGCCUUUGUUUCAAGGAUCAAUUAGGUGAACCAUUGCUGAAAUUACUUCUUGGCUAGAUCUUUAAUUAAUAUCAUCUUGAUUUUAGUGAAGUGCCAUUUGGUUUUUGGUUGUCAACUUUAUUGCAUUUUUAAUUGUUCCCUUGUUUUAAUAGAUUUAGGACUUUAAUUAUUGUUAUUCUAAGUUCAGUGAAUUGUGGUUUAAUUUAUAAUUAGUUAUUUAUUUUUAUUUUCUUAUUUGAAUUUAUUUGGUUGUCGUUGUUCCUACAAAAUCACCCCCUGUGUUACUUUGAAUUUCUUAAGAAACAAAUAUACCCAAUUCCUGUGGAUACGACCCUACUUGCCCUGUCUGCAAAUUCAAAAAUAUUUGUGAAAAUAAAUAACCAUUCCAUUCGGGUAUAUCAGAUCAAGCAAACUCUUCGGGAACAGGGUGAAUCAAGUAACCCAUUGCACACCUAGAGUCCCUGCUCCAGUACUUGGAAUCGGAUUUGGUCAUUUUAACUGGCAAAUAGGUUUUAUUUUAUUAUUGUACAGGUUUCGACAACCUGUCAGUGAAUAUGUAAACACAAAAAUAUUUACCCUUCGAAGUGAUGCCUCUUAUGUUCAAUGCUUACUUGAUGUGGUGUCAAGGCUAGUGUGUGUGUGUAUACAUAUAUAAAUUUUAUUGGUGUUUAGGAAGCAGGCAAGUGCAGUCCAUUUGAAGCAGAACUACAAGAAUUGCAGGAUGGAGUGGACUAAUAUGUGACUGUUCUCACCAUUAUAGACACCCUCACAGCUUGUUGGGAGAAAUUUUUUUUUGUUUUGUACCAUAAUUGAACUAUUUAAUUCAUGUGAAGUUAAAGGGUGUGAAGCUUGUAAACUUAGGAUAAAAAACUGUGGUGUAAGAUCAAGUUCAACAGUAUGACUAUCUUGAGUAACAAUAAUUAUACCAAUUAAAACCUUAAAAGUAUUUUAAACUAUCUAAAACAUUCAAACAUGUCAGAAGAAGUUUUGAAUGAGGUCAGGAGAUAUUAACAAUUAAGGGCUUUAUUUGGCACCUGGACAUUUUUUUUUUCCAAUCACGAUCUAUAAGACUACAGUAAAUUGUUAAAAACACUUAAAAAUAUUAAAAAAUUCUAUAAAACAUUCAAAAUAGUGUACCGCCAUCCAAAAAAAAGAAAAAAAAUACUCCAUUGCCUCCUCUAUCCUUCCCCUCUUCUUCCCAUUGCGAUGGAUACAAACUUUUUUAGGAAAAGGAUAAAAGUUAAGGCAAACAAAUGAAGGAUUGGACGCGGAUGCAGAUGAAAUUUUGAAAAAAAAUAGUAGUUUAUAAUAGUUCUUUAUUUGAGUUCAUAAUAUAGCAUUCAACUUUUGGAAUGUUAAUUUUAUUAUUUGAAAACAAAAAUUAGAUUUAUAUUAUUUUUCAACUUUAUAUAUUUUUAAAAUAUUUUAUUUUAGUUCUUUACUGUAUGUUCAAAAAAAUACCCAUAAAUACCUAUUGGAUACCCAAAUCCAUAGAGUUGAAGUCUAGAUUUACUUUUUCGGACCCAUACGAGUCUGAAUCUGAAUUUAGGUCUAACUAAGUUUAAUGACUUUAGAUCUAGACCAACUAGAUGUAACCCAAACCCUACCUAUUGACAUAUACUUAACCACAGAGGACAAAAUUUUCAUAUUCAAUAAACAUGCUGAAAUAAAGGACUUAUACGGUCUUACUCUCCCGUCAAGAUAUGAAUUCUUAAUUCUAAAUCUUAUCAAUAUUGCCGAAAUUUUCCUCUCACUAAAUGUACAAUGACUAUAAGUGGAAUUAAAUUAGGACCCUACCAAAUCUGAAGCAACCUAUCAUUACAUAACGUAAACGAUUGAAACUAGAAGUCAAAUACAGGGAGCUUGGAUUCUAUGAAGACUUGACUAAAAGUUAUUGAAAAAGGGAACUAAAAAAAAAUGGUUGCAGGAAAAGGAAGAAGGCUCAUUAUUGAUGAUCAGAAUACCCUAGUGAGGUGUUGUUUGUUUGCAAGUAGGACAGCAAGUUAGAGAGGAGGAAAAUGGAAAGAACUCCACUUUUUGUGGGACUUACUGUCUAAUUAGCCAGAAGCAACGCAUAUAUUGGCAAUCGUCAGGAUUCAAGAUCUGAAUGCCAUCCAAUGGGAGGAUUUGAUCAAACCUCAAUUGCAUUUAGGAUAGGGAAAUAUUUGGAUCUAAAUUAUUUGCUUGCAUUAUAAACACAAUUUUCAAUACACUUUUUUUUUUAAUUUUUUCAAUCACCUUUUCAUUUCGCAUGCAUCACAUCACAAAAAGUGUUAUAGUAAUUAUUCCAAAAUAAUAUUUCAAAUAAUAUCCUAUCCAAACACACUCAGUUCACACUUCCAUUUUUGUUAAUCACACUCCCACUAUCGUUUUAAUCAUAUAUUUUUCAUUUAUUACACUAUAUGAUAAAACAUAUGAUGGGAGUGCAAAUCACAAAAAAUGAAAUGAAAAUAACAUUUCGCUUAGGAUAUGGUCGAAUCAUAUAUCUGAUGUAUUAACUAGACUGACCUCUAAUUUGAGACAUCUCAGCGACUUAGCCUUGACAAGUGCACAUAACUCUAAAAGGACCCAAAUGCACAUAACUUCAAAAAAGAUCGAUAUGUUUACCUCAUGUAUUAAUAUCCAAAGGAUUGCGAGCAGAGACCAAAAGAUCAGCGUAGCAAAACACAAAAAGCAAACUUGACAGAAUAAAAGGAGUAAAAUUAAAUAUCAAAAAAAAACAAAAGAGAAAAAAGAUAUAAGUAGAGGAUAAAUGAUCGGGAAUGAAUAGAAGAACUUAACAGGGUAAAAUAGAAUAUGAAAACAUAACUUGCUUAGUCAAACAAAAAUUUAAAGAGAAAAGUUGACAUUCCCUUAUUUGUUCAUACCGUAAAGGAGUGCAGAUGAGGCAAUGGAAUGAGAUGAAGAUGAGUGACAGUGGUAGUUCAGUUUGCUUCAGUGGGUUGCUUGGUGAAAAGGAUGCAAAUGAGGACGUCCACCUUGUAAAAGACGAAAACGAUAUAAUAAAAAGAUAUAUACAUAAAAUAAAAAAGUUUUACAGGGAAAUAGUGAAAUUUAAGAAACGAGAAAGGGUUCGAAACUAAAACUUUUAAUUAUUGAAGUUUCAACUUUGGCCAUUAGAUCAAAACUUUGUUGUGUUAUAUAUUACUUGUCUUUCCUUUCCUUUCUUUUUCCCUAUUUUUCCCCCUUUGGUUCUAGGAUGACAUAAAAUUAGAUUACUGGUCUCGUCCAUGAUUGGUUAUAAAUGUUAUUAAACAUUCACUGAAUUAAUCCCUCAUUCAGGAACAGUAUAAUCCCAAGGGUGGAUGUAUAAGUUAUCCUGAGAUAAUAAUAAUUUUUUUUCCGAUCAAUAUCCUAUUUAUAAACAAAGUAAUCCUAUAAGGGUGAUCCCUAGAAGGUUUUACGUGUCAUUCCACAAUAACUAAAGGGUAGGAUGAUACAAUUUUGGCUUAGUUUGGCCAUAUAACCAUAUGCUCUUACAAUCUCAUAGACCUACUCUCUCGCAGAAGCAAAACGAAAUCCUGAACUAAUAGCACUACAAAUUGCAUAACAAAUUUUUCGACAGAUGCCCCCUCUUAUUAAUGAUAUAACAUUACUUACUCGAUCAAUUUAGGCCUUGUGACUUGGGUUCAACAAGCUUUAGCCCCGCCCAAAGAAAAAUUUUACUUGGCAAUUCGAUCCGGGAUCAACAUAAUAAUUGUGCGCGCGCGCAUUCACUGAAUCAAGGGUAUCAUAUCUCGUUCAAUGUCAGAGAAGGGAAGGAAAAGCAAAAACGAAAAUAACAGACACAGGGGAGAAGGGGGGCAAAAUCAAGAACGAAUUUGGGUACAACACAAGAAAAUCUUUUGUUUGGUAGGCCAGCAAAUCAUGUGUUGAUGCAACAUUGGCAGAAUACAGGCACCAGUAGCUAUAUCUACUUCAACUGUACGUCAGACAAUCUGCAAGCAGCCAUCCAUAUUGAGUUCAACAGAAAACAUGUUUUCUGCGUUCAGAAUGCUGAUUUAGUUCGAAGAACAUGUUUAGGAGU